This 84806-nucleotide long non-coding RNA is filed under the name Coffea arabica (coffee). RNAcentral describes it as "long non-coding RNA (CARA_LNC007596)". The record is from RNAcentral. Lineage: Eukaryota; Viridiplantae; Streptophyta; Magnoliopsida; Gentianales; Rubiaceae.
UUUUUUUUUUUUUUUUUUUUUUAAGGUUUCCUUUUCCGUCUUGCUACCCUUACCUGUAAGUUGUUAUGGUACAAAGGUCCCUUUUUGAGCUAAAUUUAACUACAAAAAAUUAAUAAGGAACCCUAAAAGGUUCUGGUAAAACCAAGAAGAAACAAAAGAUCUAUUUUCAAAUCUUUGAACCCACUUCCAAAAAAAAAAAAAAAAACAAAACUUUGAACCUAAAACUCCCAAACAAGAUAAAACUUCAAAGUCCUCAUUCCUCUUAUUUUCAUAGCACGCAAAACUGCGUAUUUUCCUAGCAAAACCCCGUAUAAUUAGAAAAGGAGUAAGAUUGACUGUGGGGAAACUCGACAUUCCCGAUGCAGGAAGAAAGAAAAUUGAAUGUCUUUUAUGGGUGCUGUGUUCCGUCUGUGGACGGGAACUAAAUUAAAGCCACUAGUCCACAGUCCAUGCACCGAAUCUUAAAGAGGUACCGACAAUUUGCCAUCCAGAUUGACAUUUUCGUGUCUUCAAAAAAAAAAAAAAAGAUUGACAUUUUCGUCUUGAUAAUAUGAAAAUCCCUUGUCAAAGUUCUUGCUAAUUACUCGUUUGGAAAUGGAAAGGAAUCGCGGUAAAACUUUAGUGCAAAUUCAAAGUGUACAUUUUUCACCCUGAAAGGAGUCUAUGGUCAUGAAUAGUUAAUGCUAACAACUAUAUAUAUAUAUAUAUACAUUGAUAGUGUAUAUAUUAUUACCGUUAGAUUCAUGACACAUGUACAAAAGUUAAAGUUCAAAUUCAAAUUUUGUAUAGUUAUCAUUCAUUCAAUACUGAUAAUAUAUACAUCGUUAGUGUAAAAAGUUUAAUCUUAUAUAUAUAUAUAUAAAACAAUGCCAACAACUAGUCUGACUCGAUUUUUAUUUUUGUCAAUGCCAAUUUGGCACGACCUCACUAAGCUCGUAUAACAAAUUAUGAAGUUGUCAAAGAGAAUUUGGUCUUGUUAUUGACUUUUUUGUAAUUCUAUCUUCUGCAUGACUUAAUAAUAUUACCUACUAGCUUAUGUGAUAUGUGCAAUUUUUUUUAAAAGUUUUCUAUAAAGAUAGACAUGGAACAAGGAGAUCACGGAGAUAAACUAGGAAAAGGCCGCCAACCCGCAGAUUUCUUCUAGGGUAAUCAAAGGUAUGUUCAAAGAAAGCUUUCCAUAUGGCAGAAACAGUAUAUGGCCUUUCAUGUGAAACUUGGGUUGGUUCUGAAAUCCAGAGCAAAGUUGACCUCUAUUUUGGCCACCCUGGUGAAAAAACUCUUUGUUGGAGGCCAAAUCUUGAAUAGUUCCACCAUUAUUAAUCACCAACUAUCCCAGGCUGAGUUUGAAGGAUUUAAUGAUCAUUUAAUCAAGAAUCAAUAAAAGAAACAAAAUUGAGCAAUUGUACACUUGAAAUAGUUAAAAAAUCAAGAACAUAGUGAUUUAAUCCGAAAAUAUUUUUAAACCACUUUUAAAGUACCUGUUGGAACAAUAAGACACGAAUGAUCAAUGAAUUAGUUCAUUAAUCUUUUCGAUCUCUAACAAAAUGACAUACGACUGAAGUCAUGCAAAGAGAAUUAAUAGAUUAACUAUAAGCUAAGCUCAAGAUACAAAUUAUUUGUAGCAAAUUUCUUUCCUUGAAAUCAGUUCAAAAAUAGAGAAAAAAAAACAACAAAAACUGGAGUCUAUCUUUUCCUAUAGGUUGGUUGGGUAAAAGGAAGUAGUAAAGCUUAGUACAUGCAUGCACCAUCACUAUACGUUGUCAAUCAUGAAACAGUGGCACUUCAAAGUUCAAAGGGACUGAUCUAAAAGAUUAUUGAUCAGACUGGGAAAGUUAUUUUCUUUUUCCAAUAGUUUCCUUUUAAAUAGAAGACAAUGCAUUGGCAAAUUUCACUUUUCCUUUCUUACAUACCACUCUCCAAAUGCCAAAUUUGAACGCAAACCUGGAAGGUGCCAUUUUUUGUUUUCCUUUUUUUGGCAACUAACAUUACUACUGACCAUGGAAUCCAAUACGCAGCCAGUGGAUUUCUUUGUACCAGCUUUAAGUGCUUUUUCAGACACUUUUAUCUAUAUGCCUCGGUAUGAUGAUGAAACUGUUACAAAAAUAAAACAUUUUGUACCGAACAAUUUUCUUGAACUACGUACUUCCCCGUCUGUGUGUGUUUUUUAUUUUAUUUUUUUUUUUUUUUGGGUUUUGGGAAGAUUUUUUUUUUUUUUCCCUUGAAACAUAUGAUACUAUGAGGAAAUCACAAUGGAUUGGGCGAGAAACAAUGUGAAUGAUUAAUCAGAUGUUUGCCAACCAAAGAUUGUUGCCCUAAACCUGGGCUGGCCCAUUACACAUUUCUCCUUUAAUCCUCAGCCCGCACUCGUGGCACUUUCUAGUCGUACAGAGUUGCUUGCUAGUUCUCCUGGAUGGAUGAAAAUGGAGUCUUCAACAGUACAUGCAAGCAACCCCAAAAAAAAGAAAAAGAACUGAUCUUGAAUCCUAGACUUCCAAUAUAAUUAAUUAUCUAUAUGCUGAAAAUUCACAGAUGAAUAUUUCUACGGGUGCCAAAAAACUAGUAUAUAGAUAAUGCUAUUUACGAGUUCCAAUUUGAGGAUUCCCAAGCAAAGACAUUAUUAGCAUUAGUACGUGGUUUUCUGCAUAUGUGGUCACUUGUUCAGGUAAAUGAUAUCUCCGUGUAACUCGCGACCAAGCCGGGGAACAAAGAGACAGCAUUUCACCUUAAUGGCUUGCAAAAUUAUAUUCAUGGUGGCAAGCAUCUUCUCUUCUACAUCCAUCCAUUUGAGUCUAUUCGAUCUAUGGACACUGAUUGAAGAUGUUCCUCAUAGCCAAGAGUGCAUAACAGUCAUAGAGAGAGGAAGCAUGACUGCAUAUCGAGCACAACUUCAAAUAGCUAGAUCCGUGACAAUAAGAUGCAUGGCUCUCGCUAAGAGAUUUGAUGCAAUGGCAUCUUCUCUUGUAGGGGAAGUGCAUGGACGAAAAAUUAAGUGAUGUCAAAAAUAGUAAUAAGACAGAUGUCCUCGUCACAACUUUCAAUUGUGAAAUAGUGAGAGUUAUGGUGUGAAUAUUAUAUCCAGCAUGUUAAUUGAUUUCAUAUAGACUUGAUCAUACCAAAAUUUUCUUGUCAAUAUAUAAAUGGUGAAUGACAAAUCAUGUGGACUAAUGCAGCCACCUUAAUGAAUUGGAACAUUUCUUUAGAUGGCAAUAUUGACUUUGUUGACAACUAAUUGAUUUUGUAUCAUACAUAGCUCCUUCAUUCACAUACUCUUAAGAGCAGCAGCCCAUCAAGGUGCAGGCGCUUAGCGACAAAAGGUAGAAAUGAUGUCUUGCACAUAACUGAUUCUUAACGUUGGAAAUCCGAGGAUUAAUUACUUUGCAAACUCAAAAAGGUCACCAAAGAUCUUUACGUGUAGAUCUUUACAUGUAUAGCAAGCUGUAGCAAUUUCCUAUUGGACUAAAUGAGAUAUCUAAGGAGGUGGUGCGUAUACUCUUGUCGCUGGGGACAAGUCACAGACCUUCGCUUUAUAUAAGAAAUCAAAUCAAUGUGCGACCACAGCAUAUGAAGGACCAUCAUUGAGGAGAAGGCAAAGGUUGGAUUAGUGUAUAGUGUAUUUGAUGAAGAUGACUUCCUGGACUGCUCUCUGCAGUGUAACAUCUUCCAACUUUAUAUUGUAAAACAUCUCUAUCAAAACCUCCUUUAAUAACGAAAGUAGAAGAGAGAGAGAUCAAUAUGUUCAGUUCUACAGUUAUCCUUUUGUUCCCUGUUUACACCUACACCUCAAUCAUCCAUCCAACCAUAAAUACAUAAAUGGUGAGAGAGAGAGAGAGGGAGAGGGAGAGAGAGAUGAUGAUGAAAGAGGAGGAAGCCCAUAUGACUUGACAAGGGCUCAAAGUUCUCGCUUCUCAGUUGGGAAACGAGCAACGCUGUGAAACAGCAAGAGAGAAAUUUGCUGUUACUUUGGUACACAAUUCUAUGUAUUUUUACCCCCCCAAUUCUCCCUCCUUUACUUAUACCUUGUCUCCUCCGUCCCUAAACAAGCCAAAUUUCAUAUCUUUCAACUCCACGUGUGGAGGGAGAGAACACACAACACAACUCUCUCUGCCUUCAAACUCAUCAGUCAUCACUACUCCUUGCUCUAUUAUCCCUUUCUCACUUGCUCUAUAGCCCUUUCUCGCCUAUUGUCAUACUAAUAUCCCAACAAAAUCCCACAAAAAUCCCAGAUUCUGAACCUUCUCAAAAUCCAUAUAUAAACAAAUAGUUUUGUUUAUUUGCCUAUUUCUUAUGACACAAACCUAAAAUCUGCCUUCCGACGACUUCUAUAAGUUCAUACCCAAUAGCUUAUCUCCAUGCAAAGAAUUCAUUGUUGUUCAAACAUUUCAUCAGGUGAGACUGAUGAGAUUGGCAGUUUGGAGGCUGAUGAUCAAGAUGAUGAUUCUUUAACUCUUCUUUCUCUUGCUCCUCCAGGCCAAAACAACACCUCAAAGAAUCUUCUGGACUGUAGUUUUGAGUACUCCUCAUGCCAACUACCUCAGGAUAACUAUCAACAAUGCCCUAGGACUAGUGCUGAAAAUGGUGUAACAGUGGCACUUCAUAUUGGUCUGCCUACUUCAGAAGCUAGCUCUACUAGUCAUGCUCAUAACUUUGGGGUUCUUCCUGAAGGACAAUACUGGAUUCCUACUCCAGCUCAAAUUCUUGUUGGCCCCACUCAGUUUUCUUGUCCUGUAUGCAACAAAACAUUUAACAGAUACAACAAUAUGCAGGUUAUGGAACUUCUAUGUAAUUCAUUUUCAGUUAUAAUGAGAUCCUAUCAAUGUUCUUCUUUCCCCUUAACUCUUGCAUGCAAAAAUAAACAAAACCUUCAGUAACAAUAGUGCUGCAACUUGCAACUAGUUGGUUGCUACAGUAGUAUGUAGACUUGUUUCGAGAUUUUUGUGGUGAUGAUGAAUAUUUUAUGUGGGCUUAGAUCAAUCUCUUGCAUAACUUUUCAUCCUCAUGAUCCUUCUGUAGAUGCAUAUGUGGGGGCAUGGAUCACAAUACAGAAAAGGGCCAGAAUCUUUAAGAGGGACAAAGCCAGCCUCAUCCAUGCUUAAACUUCCCUGUUACUGUUGUGCUGAGGGAUGCAAGAACAACAUAGAUCAUCCAAGAUCAAGGCCCUUGAAGGAUUUAGGACUCUUCAAACACACUACAAGAGAAAGCAUGGGACAAAGCCAUUUCAGUGCAGAAAAUGUGGGAAGCCAUUUGCGGUUAGAGGAGACUGGAGGACUCAUGAAAAGAAUUGUGGGAAGUUAUGGUUUUGUAUUUGUGGUUCUGAUUUUAAGCAUAAAAGAUCACUCAAAGACCAUAUUAGAGCUUUUGGAGAUGGCCAUGCAGCACAUAGUCAAGACUUGCGUGGAAUUGAAGAAUUAGUAGAAUUAGAAGAAGAUGAUGAAGAAGAAGAGGACAACUACUAAGUAGGGCUAGAUAGACUUAAUUUGUACCCUCGAAAAGUAUUGGGGGUUUUGUUAGUUUGUACCCUAAACAUUAGUAUCUACUAACUUAUGUUUGUUGUCAAUUGACCAGUUUUCGUACAUGAUUUGCACGUUUGUAGUAGGUAAUAAUAAAUUGCACAUUGGCUCUUGUCAAUUUUGACCAAUUUAUGAUAGGAUUUUUUCCUAGUUUUUCAAAACAAAUUGUACACUCAGUAAUAGAUUAGUGUUAAAGGAUUAAAAAACCUACCUUAACGUACAUAAUACACUAGCGUUGUUGAUUUGAGUAUUCAAUGGUCACAAAGAGAAGUUUAGGAGGGUGCAAACUGUGCAAAACUCGAUCUAAUACUGAAAAGGGACAAAGUGGUAUUGAUCAAAAAGAUCAAGAAGUGAUUAAUGUGUGAAGAAUAGAAUAGAAAUGUCGGAUAUGAUUCUGCCAAUGUACAUCCAUUUAUUACAUGUGAACCUUUAGUUGUAGUAGUGGUGGUAGGCUGCUGAAGUCUGAAUAGUGACUAUUUGGCUCUAUGCUUCUGAAUGUGUCUGCGGAUCUAUCAUCUAUGUGUUUGAGGGACUUGAGAGAAGAGAAAGAGAGAAAUAAAAGGGAGAGAAAAAGAUGAGGACAAACAGUAUAAUGAAAGGCACAGUUGCAUGGCAUUAAUGUUCGAAGUGCCAGUUCGAUUAUCUGAUUAAAGUUUGGUUCUUUUCUUUUUUUCCCCACUUUAUUUUUUUGGGCCUUCAGAGUCUGACAGGAGAGUAGAGACUGAGUCUGAGUUUUUUCUGAGGCUUUUGGUCUGAGGGCCUGAGGAGGGCUGAGCUUGGACUAGCACUACUAACACUUUGAUAGAGGCUUUUGUCAGAAGGUAACAAUGGACCACUGGAAGUUUUUCUUUUUGGGGUUUCACCCAAAGUAUUAACUUUCUACCUUUUGGGACGAAACAAACAGAUUUUCGUAAUAUGUUGCCAGAGCCCUGUUUUUGCCUUCUUUAAGUUUAAUAAUGUGGUUGCAUGGGCUCAUAUGCACUCUGAUACUAUAUGGGCUGCUCUCUCAGAUGUAUAUGUCAAGGAUGAGGUCCAUAUCCUGCACUGCAUGCCUUACUUUUCAACAGUUUCACCGUCUUAUCAGUAUUAUCGCUCUACUUUUUUGAUACAUUCAACUUUCUGUUUCCUGUUCUUUCAUUUUUACCCAUUUUUGAGCUGUAAUUGGUAUUCGUUUUUCUCCCUGGUUUGAGACUUAGGCCGCAUAAAACUGGUCCAUUAUCAUUGUUAAAGUUCACUAAUUUUUACUAGUUUCCUUGGCUUGUUAGAACAGCCGUGACAAUUUGCCGUACUUCUGAUUUUAUUUGUUCUUCUUGUUUUUGUGUGCAAGUGUGUCAACUUCAACACACAGACAAAUUCUGGAGUGAGGUUUUCUUAUUGGACAAUAAAUUCAGACUUACUUUUUUCUGAUCAAGAUUUGAUCAGAAUUCUCAGAUGAUGGUUCUAAUCAAAUUAUUUGGUUUGCUGCAGGGAUGCAUGUACUACAGUAUAGUACACAAAAAGUCUGCAUUAUAUGGCCCUUUGGGCUGUCAAGACGCGAACAUUUUAUUGUAAUGAAUAGGAGAAAUGUUUUUGAUCGGAGAAAGAAAAGAAAAAAAGAAAUUACUCUUGUAGGAAACUUUAGCACUGUAGCCUAACAUGUCCAAGAAUUCCUUCUUCUGUUUCAUUCUUUUUUAUACGGUUAGAUUGAAUAGUUGUCAAGCAAAAAGAAUAGUUGUUGGAAUCCCAUCUAAGGAAAAGGGAUGCCUGUAAUCACCUUUAAACAGAAAAAUAUCUGGCGUUUCUCCAACAUUUUAUGAAGCUUAACCAAAGAAGCAACGUGGUGGCCGGGCUUCCUUGUCCCAAGUUUGACCAGUUAAAAAAAAAAUAAAAGGAGAUCUAGAUUAUUUGCUGCAAUUUAAGUCUGAAUUGAUCCCAAGUUGUAUGUAGAAGUGGUCAGGGGUUCUGGGUUUUUAUUUUGAUUAUCGUUUUCUAGCAAUACUCUUGUUCUUUUUAACAAGCCCUUCUGGCAUGAUGGAAAAGAAUAGUUCCAAUGCAAAUUUCUCUCUAUUUUUUCAUGCAUGCAUGUGCGGAUUGCAAGGACAACUCCACCAAGACACCCUCACUUAGAAACAUUUCAUCGAAUGAUAGAAUCUACGAACAUGGCCUCUCUAUCUCUUUUUCUUCGUUUUCAUUUGAGUUAGGCACUCAACUCACAGCUAUACAUACACAUUUUAUUCCCAGUUUUGUCCUAUUACUUCAUGGACUUUCUUCUUUCUUUUUUUUCCCCACUUUUUUUGGUAAGUCAACAAAUUUCUGUUUUGCUGUUCUUCUAGAUGAUAAGGGAGAGAAAAAUAUGACAGUAAUUUCUUCAAAAUCCAAUUCUGACAAUAAAGAUGGGAGACAUAUGGUCAAUGAUGCUGGUAGGAGAGAAAAAAACCAUUCUAAGUAGUACAAACGAUAAACCAGUACAAGCAUUUAUUGGACAGCUCUUGCUGCCAAACUAAUUAAUGCUUGAAUAAUUGUGGCUAUUCCUUGGAUCAACCUCCCUAUCAAUCAGUGAAGUUAGGGAUGGUUGCCUGAGGCUCAGUAGCCUUAGCAGCAGCUGAUGGUUCAGCAGUAGCUGUUGGCAACACUGGCUUAACCACCAACUCAGCUGGCAAAUCCUUAAUUCCCUUUAAAUAAAAUGUAUAGAACAGCUUAAAUGGGAACACAAUCUGCUGCAGCUUCACCACACCCUGCACCCCCUCGAAUACUCCUGAUCCAGCGGUCACAGCCAGAUGUGUGUCCUCGUAAGUCAAAUAUGGCCCCUGGACUGAAUGUGACCGUAGUCACCAAAAUAGAAGCUGUAGAUAGCCUCAUAACGAUCACCUUUCUUCUCAGGAACAUGUUUAUCAGCACACAUAAUCCUGAUGUUAUGCCUAAUCUCUUCUGCAAAUCACCUGUGUAGAGCUUAUUGCUGAAUGGAACUAGAUCACCUAGAGAAUUUGCGUCCUUUUUGCUAAGUCUCAAGUAUGCUGGGCUGCCCCUGUCCCUUUCAUUAAUCUCAUACACAUAUAGUUCUUGAACUUUAGCUGAAUCACAAAGACAUGAUUUUGUGAUGAGCAAUAAUACAUCGUGAAUCAUGAAAUCCAACUAAUUUUAGCUAGUAGUUUCACUGACUACCUCAAAAUUACCGAUAUUACUAUGCCUAGCAAAUCUUUUAUUUCCAAGAACUCGUAUUCAUUUGCUUGGAGAAAGUAGAAUGCAUCUGAUGGACCAUUUUCCUAUGGUUUGACGACAAAAUACUAACUAACUCAUCGAAUCGAAAAAAGAUUUAUUGGUACAGGAAGUACUCACUUGGUUCUGGCUUUGGUUUGCCGAUGUUGAAGAAGAAUGCUUUUGUCGAGCAUCUUUGGAGGGUCUUCUGGCGGAGAAGGCUUGGUGGGUCGUCGAGAUCUGGACAGAUUUAGUUAAAAGUGGAUUUGAAAGCUUAAACGCAAGCUUGUCAUAAUGGAUUCGAUGUUGGAAAGUGAUUCAAGAUUGAAUAGUUUAAGGGAAGAAACUGGUUGAGAGAGCUUGUACUUGCCAUUGAUGAAGUGGAUGCUAAUGGUUAGGGUUGAUCUACGCAAAGUAUAGGUUCAAGAAACAUCCAUCCAGGGGAGCAAUGUGCCUUGAUUUAGAAAGGUAUGUAGCUGGAAGAUUCUGCACCGAUAAAUUAUGCACCAAUAUUAAACGCACGACUUGUAAUUCUGAUUGGUUUAAGGGUACCUAUUGAUGAGACAAUAUAGCUUAAUAGUUUUUUUUUUCUCUUUAAUGUGGAAACACAGGCUGGACUCGUAAAAGUAGUCAAAAGCGGUAGCUGUAGGUGUGGAAAUAAUUAGAAAUUGGAAGAUCAUGGAGGGGGAAAAGUAUGAAUGUAGCAGCAAAAGCCAUAUCAAUCAGAACCUUCACAACAAAAGACAUAUUUGUUAGGUAUCGAUGCUAAAAUCUUGAGCACUGUGCAGAAGCAACAUCAAUGUUUGUUAGGAUCAUCAGAUUAAAAUGUAUAUUAAAGAGCUACAAUUAUUCAAAUGAUUAAAUAGUACAAGAAAAGUUUUCUGUACAUAUAAAUCAUUACUGUUCGUUGCUAUGUAUAACAGCCUUAAGAAUUUCUCACAAAUUGCAAACAUUUCAUAUCCCAAUUUCACCAGCUCUGGCAAUGGCCAUUGACAUGCCGGUAACAAUGCUGUACCUUACUUUGACCAGGCAACAUAUCUGGUGAACGAUGUCCCGAUAAUUGCUUAGCUGCCAGCAAAGUUCUAUAAAUGGUGUUGAUGUGAUCAAAACUGGGAUCAUCACUUAAGGCCUAAUGCUUUUGCCAUCUCAGGGUUGUAUAUGAGAUCCAUGGAUCCCAAGUUAAUGGAGGAGCAGGAGUUUAUUUCCUCCAUUACAUGUAGAAGAAAUGAAGUGUGCAAAAUGAAUCAUGAGUGAUUCAUCUAAGCUUUUGUUAAGAUUUCUGCGCCAGUUUUUGUAAUCAAAAUUGUGUGCUCGAAUUGCGCAGCAGGGCUGCCAUCAGCUGUCAGGGUUGUCCAGUUAUCCUCCAUGUGAUACACUCCGUGUUUCCCAAUGUAAGAAUUGGUUCUGCAGUAAAUUUACAAAACAUAACAGGUAAGGAUUCAAUUCAAUAAAAUUUCACUUUACUGCAAAACACAAUCUAAAGUGAAAAUAUAUCAAGAUAGUGCCGGACUUGCUGAAUAAGCCAAGAUGACAAAGUAAUAGAAAUUAUGGCAAAAAUGUACCAAAAACCUUUCAGCAAGUCCAAAAGGAAGUGAGGAUUUCAUUCAAAAAUAACCUCGUUUAGCAUUUAUGAUCUUUCAAAUUUCCUAGCGAAGUACCGUCAUGGUAUCACCUGAUGUACACUAUCAUUCCUUAUGAAUCCAUAACGGUCUCCCUCUGAUUUCAGGACUUUUUACAUGCAUUUGCGAUGCCAUGAACAAGUUAAUUUAUUAUUAUUGUUGUUGUUGUGUAGUUGUUGUUAAUUAAGCAACAGCAAGUUAGUUCAAUAGGGGAAAAGGUUCAAUAUACUGGUCAAAGCACAUCCAACUGAAUACCAGUACUUGAAGGUACAUAUUGCUUUCUAACAAGGCAACCAUGCACAAGCUCUCCCAAGUAUUUCUUAAAUUAAAACUAUGUUUGUGAUGUAUCGACAGACAAAUAAUAGAAACUGGCCAUUUAAAAGCAUUAUCUACAUUAAAGAGGAAUAUGCUCACCAAUUGUGAAUGUUUGCCCUCAACCAUGAAGCCUGGCUUAUCAUUGCCUGCAAACAACCAAAACAAAAUAAAAGUUGGCAUAACUUUGAAAGUACAAGUAGAAUCCAAAGGAAAAGACAAAUCCAAGUUCAGUAAACUUGAAUUAUAUGUUAUACCAUCUCCAAGCAUAAAACUAGAAUAACAGAAACAAGUUUCCAUUCAAAGCAAGGACACAGCAUAGGAAAAAGACAUACUUCAGAGGCAAGACAUUCAGAAUAAUGAAAAUACAUAGCCUAUUAGAAGUUAUAAAGCAGAUCUAAGGUUUUAAGAUUAUUUUUUAUUUUUAGGUCAUAAUGUGCGGAAAGAAAAGUCAAGGUGUUAUUCUAACUUCUAAAGAUAAUUACUCUUAGAAGAAUAUAAAGCCAACCAUCUUGGCUUGACUCUCAGUCUCCCUACAAAUUGACACAACUUAGAUUCUCCAAAAUCAAUGGUAUGGAUACAUACUCCAUUAUUAUGUCAAUCAAAGAGUUAAAAAGAAAGAAGGAAAUGAUAGGACUUACUUUCUAUAUUUGAAAUAUGCAAAGGCAGAAAUAGCUCUCAGUUUAGAGUUACCAUUUAAGCAACCUAGACAUUUUCCAAAGAAAGAUUAAACAAGACAUUUAGUUUGGACAAAAGAGAUUACUUGAAAAGUUUAGAUCACAUGCAAAUGGAAAGUGCAACCGUAGAUUAAGAUGUACUAUGUUAAGCCAAUCUGCAUUAAUUGGCUUUAAAUAUAAUUCUAGACCACCUAAGGAGGUAUAGCACGGUGCUACCUGAAGAAAGGUGCCACCUCGUCGAUGUUAGAGGAUCUUGAAUUCACCAUAUCAUAUGAUUAUCAUGUUAACAGAACAACAUGUAAUUCACUGAAAUGACAGCUUAGCAAGACCAUUACUAGUCAUUGGUGAAGGCUGAAGCUAGUGCAGUUUUCUUUAGCGACUGUGACAAUUAUACUGAAAGGAUUAACACGAGGGACUACUCACGGUGGUGAAAUAUAAGUGGUUCAGAAUGAAAUACAUUCCCAACACCAUGUCCAACAAAACGGUCCACCACGCCGUAACCAAAUUUCUCAGCAUGCUCACUGCAACGAUAAUUAACAGAGUCCUUAGAGAAGGCAAAAUAUACUUUAAAUUAAAACAACUUUUGUUUUGAGAAAGAUUUGCUCAUAUUUGAACACCUUCUAGUCUAACUAUAGUAAAAGUACAAAAGGUGACACUUUGGAUAUGGACUGGACUUCAUGAGAAAAUGUGUCGGGAUAAAAAAAUAACAUUCUUUUUUUUUUUUUUUUUUGGUCAAAAAGGCAACCUAACAUUAUUCCCCAUUCUCCUAUGCUUCCUUUUGCAUUGUGUGGACUCUUGGGCCAAAAACUUAUCAAGCCAUUCUGGUUUUCAGAUUGUUUCAGAGUCCAGGAGUGGAGCAGAAACCCAUACUGGGGAUAUUAACUGCGGCCAUCUGGCCCACUGAAUUGACCUACGUAUCAAUUGUGGCCUGUAUUGUUCACCUAUCCAUUGAUUCGACCUACGUGUCAAUUGUGGCCUGUAUUUUUUGUAUUUCCCUCCACAAAAAAUACCUGAAAUAACUGUCCCUUUUGAGAAAAUAAAUACAAAAAACAAAAUAAAAAAAAAAAAUCUAAGAAACGGACGACGCCAUGAAAGAAAGCAACAGAGCGCAGUCCUAGGCUAGCCUAAAAUUGCUGAAACAAAAUCUUCAAAACAUAACUCUGAUGAUUUCUUUUGUUUCCCAAGCAUAAUUUUAGGUACUAAAAUUCCUCAUAGAUCCUCGAAACAAUCAUGGCUACGGUUGCCACCAGUGGGGUUGGAUUAAGUGGAGCAAGACUCCAUGCUUUCAACUCCAGCAAACCAUUUUCUCCAUUUCUUGGGAAGAAGCUCAAGAUUAAACCAAUUUCUGAGUCAAUUCAUCCAACAAAGUUUAACCAUGCAAAAUCCAGGAAUCUUCUUGUUUUAGCAUCUGGGGUGGAUUUAAUGAGCUUUGUCAACGAUCUUUUUGUUGGGGUUGGAGUUGGACUUCCAUGUACGGUCAUGGCGUGUGGUGAUAUAAUUUAUAGAAGUACACUUCCAAGCUCAAAUGGUCUCACAGUUACAGUUCCUGGGACGAUUUUAGCACUGGGUGCUUUGUCUUAUUUGUGGGCUACUCCUGGUGUUGCCCCUGGUUUUUUUGAUAUGUUUGUGCUUGCAUUUGUUGAAAGACUGAUUAGACCUACCUAUCGGAAGGUUAGUUGAUUGUCUGGUGAAUUUUUGAUUUUGUAAAGUUUUGAGGAUAAAAUCUUGGAAUUUGGAUAAUUUGAUUUUGUUUUGUGGUGGCAGGAAGAUUUUGUGCUUGGGAAGAAAUUAGGUGAAGGGUCUUUUGGUGUGGUUUAUAGAGCUUCAUGGGCUAAAAAGCCCUCCCCAAAGGUAAAUAUUUGACAGGAACUUGCUAGUAUCAAAGUUUUGUUUAUUGUUUAUGUUAUUUCAGCCCUUUCGGAUUUUUUCCCCUUUAUGUGCUUUGCAUGUAUUAUAGGGAAUAUUGUUGAGGUUAUGCUGGUCCCUACUUGAACUUUGAUGGAAUAUUUUCUUCCAUUCUUUUGCUCAAAUGCUCAGACUUUAUAUAGAACCUAAUCACAUGUACAUGUAUCAAGUUUUUUCCAAACUUUCUUGUCAAUCUGGAAUGAAUGUGUUAUUAGGCCACAGUUUGCAUUAAUAUUAGCUGAUAAAGAUAUCUAGAAGGCAUGUUUGCUAAUUGUUAUUGGUAGCGAUCCUAAAAUAACAAUAGUUGCUAUUGGUUGUCACUCAAAGGGUGGAGAGUUAGUCUUGAAAAAGGCUACUGAAUAUGGAGCAGUGGAGAUAUGGAUGAAUGAACGUUUGCGAAGGGCUUGUGCUAGUAGCUGUGCUGAUUUUGUGUAUGGCUUUCUCGAGGUGCUGCUCUCUUUGCCUAAUGUUGCUAAGUAUGAUUAUAGCAGAGAUAAUAAGACAGCUUCAAGCACAUAUCUAUAACUUUUGCAAAUUGGAUUCAGAGUUCUUCAAAGAAACAAGCUGAAUAUUGGCUUAUAUGGCGUUUUGAAGGGGAAGCCACACUUGCUGAUUUAAUGCAAAGUAGGGAGUUUCCUUACAAUGUUGGUACCACUUCUGUCUCACCUUAAUUCUAAAUCUGUGAUGCAGAACAAAUCUCCUUGAUGGAAUUUUCAAGUAGAUAUAUUAUGAUGUGGAAAUCAUCUGUUCCAUAUGUUAUCCAUUUUGAACAUCACUAUGACUUAUUAUGUGUAUUUGCUUAGGUGCAUAUUAGACGUGCACAAUUCCAUGAAGGCUCACGGUAGCAUAUUUAAGGACAUAGCUGCUGGCCUAAAAAAGUGCCAACUCUUUCGUUUUGUAACUUAUAUAUUCAAUUCAUGACAUGAAUUAUAUGUAUUGUUACAUAAUGACGUAGGCCAACCAUUGGACCAUAGCUGUGCUUAUUGUUCCAUAGUGUAAAGCCCUAAGAUAAUAGGAUUUCCCUCCAAACAUAGCUGUGCUUAUUGUUCCAAAGUGGUAGAGUAACUGAUUCUUAAUAGAAACAAUAAUGUUGUAUUGUGAGGACAGAAGAGAAUAAAACUGUACUCUCUUCAGGAAAAAUUUCAUAGAGCUUGCCUGCCAAAAGGAAAAAGAUUAUAGUUGUCCAUAUUAUGAUGAACUGGUAGGCAAACAAAGAUAUCAUUGGUAGCUCUCCAGGUACAGAGUAACAACGGUGGCCACAAGAACUUCUCAAAGUGACAAUUGUGUUGUCAGGACCAGAAGGGUGUCAAAAUACUAGCUGAGAUUGGUUUCUAUUGAUAGUCUUUAGCCUCUAUCCCAAGCUUUCAGUGAGUUGAAGGUGAAUUUGGCUACCUUUAUGAGUGAAACAGUAGAAAUAGAUUUCUAGAACUGCAAGAAAGAAGAAGAUUUACAAAGAAAAUCAGGAAUUACUGAAACAAGGAGCACAGAAAAGAAAACUUGGAAAUUGAAUGAGAAGUCAAAUAUUUGUUCAACUGAAAAGAAAUGUUUGCUAGUAGGAAAAUUCUUGUCCAAGAAUUAAGAAUCCGUUGUCCAGAUUUCCCCUUCUGGCACUCAAAGGGUAGAGCCUGUAGAUUGACUGCUGAAACUAUGAAUCCUGACUAGACACACAAGAUUAAGAUGGUGACCUCUCCAGCUUUGCUUCAGUUAGAUGCUCUAGAUUAGAAACUGAUUCCUUUUUCACAUGGCAAAGUGCUUCACGGGUGGAUUUCUGAGGUUGAAAACUUUUCCAGUAUAUCCAGGUCUUUGAGUCACUUUUGUUGUAAAAUAUGCCAAAUGAGUCCCCCCCCCCCUCCCCCUCUCCUGGAAAAGAAGUCCUAGUUGUUUAUCUCCCUUUAACCUAUAUUAGCAAUAGGUUGAUCUAACUAUGGUUUUGUGUUCAUUAUCUUGUCUAAAGAAAAGGUCAAUGCUUUUGUACACUUUUUGCAAUGAGUUGCUGAGACGGUCUCUAUAUGACAUAUAAGAUCAAAUUUACAUUUCUAGCCUCUUCUGCUAACCUUAAUGAAGUUUUCGCAAACUUAAAGGUGGAAGCACUGCUUCUCGGGGAGGUUAACAACUUGCCUAAGGCUCUAGAAAGGGAAAAUCAAAUUAUCCAGACUAUUUUGGGACAGAUCUUGUUUGCAUUAGAUGGUCUUCACUCAACCGGAAUUGUCCACAGAGAUAUUAAGCCACAGAACAUAAUUUUCACUGAAGGUGACUGUUUUGUGCCAACCUUACUUAUUAGCAGCUCGCUUAAACUCUCUCUCUAUUGUUUCUUUCAGUUUUUUUUCUUUUUCUUUUCAUUUUUCUUCAUUAAAUGUGAUGCAGGUUCUCGCACAUUCAAAAUCAUUGAUCUUGGAGCUGCUACAGAUUUAAGGGUGGGCAUCAAUUAUAUUCCUAAGGAGUUUCUGUUAGAUCCAAGGUAACUUUUCAGCUCAACAAAAAUCAAUCACUGCCAGGAGCAUGUUGGUUUCUUUUCUAUACACUAAAGUACUCAAACUUGCAAAUAGCUGCUGAUAAAGUACUAAAGUUUCUAGGACAGCCUAAUCUAAUGUCAUUAUCAAACCAAUAAGAAAGUAUCAGUUAGUUACUCAUGAGAAAUCCUGUAAAAUCCUGGAUAUUGACCCAAAUCCUUACCUGGGGUCAUCUACUCAAAUGUUACCUUUUUCAUUAGGAAAAGAAAAUUAUGUUGAGCAAAGUAUCAAUCAACUUCAGUUAUCUCAGAUCAAAAUGUGUAAUAGUCCUUCCCUACACCAAAAUUCAUCCCAGAAUUAGUGGCCAUCUUGGUUCUCUUAGUCAUGUGAAAAUGCUAGGAAAAAUUCACUGCAGGGAUGAGAGGGUUAGAAAAUGGAGCGCUACAAACCUCCACCCCUCCUUUCCCCAAAAACAACCUUUUUAGUCAUACAGGAAAUGUUCUUCGUAGAAAAAGCCAACCAACCAUCAAGUAUACUUUGUUUUUGGGAAGGGAAGAAGAAGAGGGAAGGAGCGAAUUUUUGGGCAAUGGAACAACUUUAAAGUUGACUUCUUUUGUACUUUUGGAAGUCCAUCACAAUUAAGAAUAUUUUUGUUUUCGAUUUCCCAUAAAUUGCAAUAUUAAAUAACCGUUCUUACGUGACUUUCAUAACCAUUUGGUAUCAGGCAGUAGAAGAGUGUAUUUCAUGCUAUGAACUGAUUUAGUUUCACAACCCCAUCGAGUUGAUUUUGUUCAAUACGAUCCACAAAUUUAAAUUAUCACCUCAAGGAGUCAAAUACAUAAUAUCUGAGUUGAAGUUGUAAUAAGUUAUUAUCCCAGUAACAGUUUCAUAUUUGGAAUAUACAUUGGGACUGAAAUCAUUAGGCUUUAUUUGAUCUCUUUACGGAUAUUCAUUGAGCAUUAUCCAGGCUAACAGGAGCUACUUUCUUGAUAGGCUCCAAGCAUCAAUCUAAUUCCAUCAAUUAGAUUCACAUGAUUCCAGACUUUGGUUUAUUUGCACAACAUUAUUAUUUCUCAUUUUCUCCAGGUAUGCUGCACCUGAGCAGUAUAUUAUGAGCACUCAAACACCCUCUGCACCUUCAGCUCCAGUUGCAACGGCACUAUCUCCUGUUUUAUGGCAGGUAUUGUGUCUUCUAUGAAUACUUUCAUCUUCACGCCACUUGAGGUUGAGCGAUACAUUUGACUUACCCCUAAACAACAAUGUCUGAGCAGCUAAAUUUACCAGAUCGCUUUGACAUCUACAGCGCCGGGCUCGUAUUUUUACAAAUGGUAAGUUAGCGAUACUAGUUAAUUAUGACUGUUUCUCCUGGAUGAUGUCCUAGGAAUGCAAGCAGUUACCUAUAGGAGAACAAUAUACUCUUUUCACGAGUAUAAAAAAUGGUCAAUAAGUAGUUGGAAUAUCCUUUGCUGAGAUUGUCAUUCUGUACUUAUUUUCACAUUGUCAUUGACUAACAAACUUCACCAUGUUUAAAAUUCAAACGGAAAAAAGAAAAAUCUUGGAAAGAAUUUUCUGUCUCUGUCUGCAUAUAACAAUGGCACAAAUAUAUGUAAAUGAUGUUUGAUAUUCCUUUUGAGGUUCUGCAUUUCAAAAUUUCCCUACAGAGAAGCUAACUCGAUCCCCAAGUGCGGCAUUGAAGUCUGAAACUAAUCAAGUAACACUAUGAUUGUGGUGAUUGAUAAUUACUGUUUUAUUGCAUUGGGUGUAGUGUUUGAUUGGCACUGCCUUAGUGACUCCCCCUUAUUGAUGAUGAGCUCAUUGCCUGCAGGCGUUCCCUGGACUACGAAACGACAAUAGUCUCAUACAAUUUAAACGUCAGCUAAAGCGAUGUGACUACGAUCUGGUUGCAUGGAGGAAUACAGUAGAACCACGUGCAAGCAAUGAGCUUAGAAGGGGCUUUGAGUUGUUAGAUCUGGAUGGUGGCAUUGGAUGGGAACUUUUAACAUCAAUGGUUCGGUAUAAGGCACGCCAAAGAGUCAGCGCAAAAGAAGCUUUAGCUCAUCCUUACUUUGAUAGAGAAGGCCUAUUGGCCAUGUCCUUUAUGCAGAACCUAAGGAUGCAAUAUUAUCGAGUGACACAACAAGACUAUAGUGAAGCUCUCAAGUGGGUUGUUCGGCUGAUGGCAAAGUCAGGAACAGAGCAGGACGGUGGCUUCACUGAAGCACAGCUUCAGGAGCUCAGGGUUUGUAUAUGCUAAACUGCAUAUUAUGGAUUUUAGAAAUAGUUACACUAUGAGUUACAACUCUCUAUCUGCUUUAUGCAGGAUAUACAACCUAAAAAGAAGUCGAGUGCGCAAAGGAAUGCUCUUGCAUCAGCUCUCAAGCUGCAGAGAAAAAUCAUAAGGACAUUAAAGGAGAGUGUUGAUGAACUUAAUCAAAGGCGAAAGAGCGUAUGGUGGAAUCGGUGGAUCCCAAGAGAGGAAUGAAAUUUGUAAAAAUAGUAAUUUACUUAUGCAUGUAAAUUAUUUUGCAGUCCUCAACCUUAACUUCUCUAGCGGAGUAAAUGAUGUCUAAUAGAGAGUAGAAAAGCAGAUUUUAUAUAAAAAGUAAUGUACAUCAUUCCACUCACACUCGGAUUAAUCCUCUUGUAUGAUAGGAGACGUAUAAAAGAAAAUUUACAGAUAAUCGAUUGUCCCUUCAGUUUUCUGAUUCUGAAUUUCAUACCAUUAUCCUCAGGCAUGCAGAAACACACAUUAACGAAGGCCAAAGAUCAUUCCUGUUGCAUUAUUGUGAGGUUGGUUCUUCUUCCAUGAAGCUGCUUAAUUCAGCCCUUCAUUUCACUUUCUCAAUUUAUUCCUUUUGUAGUAACAUGGAUACGUAGUUCGUUGGAGCUACAAAAAUAGGCAUAUAGAUAGCAUGAUAAUUGACUAAUUAUUUCUGUCUUCCUCACUGGAAUGAAGAUUGUAAGUGGCUAUAAUACGUGUGCAUUCAUCAUUUCCAUAUCCAUCGAAUGGAGUUAGUAGGAAAUGGAACAUCAUAUACAUAGUUUUUUCUUCUUUAAUUUCCUUAACAUUUCUCUUAUUUGCCUCCUUUUCCUAAUCUUGCUUUUCUAUUAGUACUAGUAAUUUCAUCUUGCUUAAUUUGGUGUGUUCGGAAACAAAAAUUUUUCAAAUAUAAUUUUAUUUGUGUCAUAAAAACAUUCUUCAACCACGUUUUUAUAUUUUCAAUUAUCUUUUUAUCUCACAUACAUCAUAUCAAAAAAAGUGCUAUAGCGAUCUUUCUAAAUAAUAUUUUAAGCAAUCUGCCAUCCAAACACACUACGGUAAUUUCAGUUCUGCCACGCUCCAUAAUGCUCAAUUAAAAAUCCUUUCCGGAUCUCAAGGUUUUCACAGCAUACCUGGGAUAUUUCCAGGCAAAAACUGUUAAGGAUGACGAUGAGCCAUGUUAUGGCAUGAGACCUAUCAUUGUGCCAACAAUGUAUUGACCCGUUGUGCUGGAUACGUAUGAGAGUUUCAGAGCUGUGAUAUACAAGUCGGAAUAAUUACAUAUCUAAGCUAAAACUUUAGGAUGAUAAAUGCGUAAAAAAAUAAAAAGGAUAAUGAAUAAGUCAAGCUAAUUCUCUGUUCAUGUUGUGUUCCCUACCCAUAGAGGAUAUAGGGCUUGUUUUCAAAUGAUUCUAAGUAAAUUAAAACAAGAAGAUAAAUGUUUUUAGCUUCUGAUCUGAUUCGAAUUAUGAAAAUCAGAAGCAUCUGUGAGAACUUAUCUACAAAGUUUGAGGUUCUCUGCAGAGCUGACGACUUCAUCCCCGAACUUACAUGGCAAUUCAUGGCUAAGUAAAACUUAAAACUGAGGCCAACGGUGACGGCCAGAUAACCAAAAAUUGGUCUCGUUGUUAGUUGAAAACAUUGGAAGCAAUUCUGACAUGCUUAGGAUAAGUAAUUAUUGUUCGUACAGUUAAUUAACUGUCAUCAACUCACUAUCAAGAAAGAAACCCUUCAGUCCCCACCAUCAUCCUACCUUCCUUCCUCUCCUGAGGGAACUCCAUUUAUGGAGAUUUGAUACGCCCGUAAGAAUACAACUCAUGCACUACUAUGCUUCUUACUACUGAUAUUAUUACCCAUUCGUGCUGGCUUAUGGCAGUUGACACCACAAUUAGGCUACUUAACAUAUUCAAAUCUGCAGAAGUAGCGUCAUCAAUAACUAAUUUACAACUAAGCACUAUUGCUUUGCGGAUGAACUAGCUUUUAAAUAAUUUAGGUGAAUAUACCUACCUAUAUAGAGUUCAAACGUUGGUGGCAGCAAUAAUUAACGAUUAGUAGCAUAAGAUGAUGUCGAGAAUAGCAGGAACAACAACCGUAUCAACCAUGAGAGCUUCACGUGUGACCUGACCUUCUUGUUCAGGCACACAAAAGUCCACUUUUUCAGCCCUUGACAGUACAACACACACCCCACCAUAGUCACUUCAAAGUAAGCCUGGAAGACUCGGAUUAUGGCAUAGUACAAGUUUCUUAAUCAGCACUGUCCCCCUCAGACUUGUUUUCUUUCUUUUAUUGAUAUUUUCCCCUUACCCAAUGUGGUUUUUGGGUCAUAGCCCAUCGUAUGAUUUUAUUGGCAUUUCAAAGUUUUGAUUAGCUUUGGAUAUUUCAUGGUUCAUGAUCAUUUGUUGUUUUAUGCGUGCAUAGAACAAUGACUAUAGCUUACUGAGUCAUCCUGCAUCUAUUUUAAGGACCUGCACAUUGCUUUAUCAUGAGCUAUGGAGCUUGGACUCAAUGUAUCAUGAUUUAACCUUGACUCAGACAUAAUGAAAAUCCAUCAUGGCGGACGAAUUCCCCAUAAGUUAGGUCCAUCUACACGCUUAACAUAAGAUUUGAAAGGAAAAAUUCUUCACUAUGUAAUUGCUAUCAUGCAUUCAAACUCAUCAGUAGAAGAAACGUUUUUCUAUGGCAUACCCUAGUAUCCACUAAAGGAAAGAGCGAAAAAAAAAAAAAAAAAGAGAGAGAAAGAAAAACCAUGUAUUACAAUUAGUUCAAGCUGACUAGAAAAACCAAUAAAACUUUAAUGUCCUAGUCAAGGAGUUGGAGUGUGAAGUGUUACAUUACGUUAUGUAAUUACUUUAUACUCCCUCUCUUUUUUUAUAACUGACGUUUAAGAAAUUUGCUUUUAAGUACUUUUAUCUGUCGUUGUAUUAUCCACAUGCAGCAUUAAUUAUUUUUUCACAAUUUUGCCCUUUUAUCUCUCUUUAUCAAUACAGGACUCUUAAUUACCACUCCUAGUAAUUAUUACUUCUCUCUUUGCUUUUGGCCUAAUAAAACAGCAUCAUUUAAUACUCUAGUGAGAGAAAACAUGAGUGAAUUGGACAAUUAAUGAGGGUACAAAAGGAAAGUAGUGUAUAGAUUUAAACAAUGAAAAACUUUUCUUAAUUGGUGUGCAAAACCUUAAACGUCAGUUAUAAAAAAAGGGAGGGAGUAUAAUGAAGUGUCAUGCGUUAUAUUAUGUUGUUGCUUAAUACCUUUCUUUAUAUCGAGUGAUGAGUUUGAAUUGAAGACAGCUUACGUGAGCUCAGAAACUGAGAAUGGCAGCUUCAAAACUGCUCAAAAGAAAGAACCCCCAAAAAAAGAAAGUAAAAAAAAAUCUUAAAUCAAUAGUUUAUUAGAACUUUAGGUUACUGAAAGCUGGUGUCCUUAGUGAAAUGGGAGGAACACGAGAUAAAGCAAGUGGGUUGGCUUUGCUUGGUAACCUGAUCAUCAAGAUUAAAUUAACCAUUCACUUAAUCGAAUUUUGUGCUGUUUCCCCACUAGAUUUCAGCAAGAAAGGAGUAGUAGAAAAUUCAGCUAUGGUCAUUGCUUGGAAAUGUGGUUUCUUGGGUUCUUAAAUGCUGGUGCAAUAAAAGAGAAUAUGGCGGGGUAAUUGAAGGCUCACGUGAGGCUUAGUUUGACCGUUAUUUUGAUCCGAUUCCCUCGACAAGUAGCGUAAAAAUUCUCGUAAUUAAGCCAAAAUAUGCAGGGCAUACGAUGUUGAAACUUCCUUCCAUUUUUGCAAUUUAAUUCUCUCAAGCAUAUCUUUCUUUGAUCCCUUUUGGUUUUCAAUGUCAUUUUCAGAAUUUUCUAGCACAAAACUUUUUAUGGGUUCUUUGCCUUCAAUUUAUUUUGACAAAUUAUGACAAAAUGUUUCCUACAAAAAAUUCAAUGUCAUUUUACUUUGAGCAGAGUGAUUUCCAUUGGAAUUGUUGAAGACGAUCCUGCAAAGUAAAACGGUGACAAGGCAUCUUCAUUCAGCAAGUUCUUUAAAUUUCUCAUUCAGGAUGUUUUUUUGAUACCCUUAGCUUAGUAGGGUAAAUGCUUUAAUGCCAAUCCGAAUUUACUGAUACUCGUUGUGGCAGUCAACCUAAGAUGACUGAACCCAGAUAUGAUUUCUCCUGUUAAAGAUAUUAUUACAAAAAAAAAAAAAAAAUUCUCAAUAAAAUUGAUUCGUUCUUGGGUCAAUUCAAACUUUUAUUGUUUGCAUGGCAUGCCAACUGUAAGUUUAGUGCUUCAAGAAAAAAGAAAAAUGGAAAUCAAAACUUUGAAUAUAACACUUUGUAUAUCAGUGAUCACUAUAGUGACCCCUACUGAUACAGAAGGCAGAAUUCCUGGAAAAAAUGUUGCCUUGAAGCCGCCACUGCACCCCAUUGUCAUACAUACUGUCUCAGUAACUCCCAGUUAUACAAAGCAAAUACGGGAACUGUUGACUUGAAGUUGCAACCGCACCCCAUUAUCAUACCGAAUUGUCCCAUAUGAAUAAUGCUGAUGGAAAUUUUGCUGGAUUAGAUUGGGAUAAUUCAUUAUAGUAGGCUCUAUUAGGUGGUGCUUUACUUUACAUGUACGUUAGUUAAAAUGGGCAUUUUUUAGUAGGAUCCAACUGAGACCCUCACUUUGUCUGUUUAGGUGGAUCCGACUCAAAUAAGACAUGAACUUAAAUGAGUGUACCAGAAAUAUGCAGGAGAAGGGUCAUUUUGACCAAAAUUAUCACCUCAUCAUCAACACUAUUGCAAGGCAGCUCAUAAACUAAGGAAUUGUGCUACCUUAUUGAAGUAAUGGCUGACCCCUUAUGUUGGUAGGUGAUGCAUGAUAACCAGAGUUGUAUAUAGAGAAUGACAUGGCACUAUGGCAUUGAAUCUACACUUGUACAAAUAUGCAUUAGUAGCGGUAUUUAUUUACUCACUAGUGUUUGAAUAAUUUUAAUCUUUAUUUUUUUUUUCCCCUCCAUGUUGGGGGUUUAUAGCAUGGAAUCCCAAGUGGGUAUGGGACCCUUAUGGUACUGUCUGGUGAGCUAGGGGGCACUGCACACCCCUUGAUGCCCCAUAGUUGGCUCUUUACUCGACCGAGGCAAGUUUGGGCCACACUUGAAACUCCUUAUAUAAAGAGCCCUUCUUGCUCUUUGUUCAUCACUUCAAUUUCAGCAACUUCUUCAUUCAUCACUUGUGAGUUUACCUGCACCAAAGCACAAAGAAGAAAAAAGAACACUUCUUGCAAACUAUUGUAGAGAAGAUGAAGAUGAGCAGCACAAACAUGGGAAGCUCCAAGAGAAGAAUUUCAAGCAGAGGACUAGGAGGGGUCCUAAGAGAGCAAAGGGCUAGGCUUUACAUAAUCAGAAGAUGUGUGGUCAUGCAGCUUUGCUGGCAUGAAUGAAGAGUAUCUUUCUAGUUCUAUCUAGCCUUCAAUAAGAAGGGAUGCUUGUUUCUUUCUUCUUCUUCUUCUUUGAUCAUCUUGGGGAGUGUAAAUAGCAAAGGCCGAGAUUAGUGAGAAAGAAGUUAACAAUUUUGUACUAAUUAUUAAUUGGCUUUAUGAGCCCUCGUGUGUAUACAGUCGGAUAGCUUAAUGGAUUGAAAAAAUCAUCUUUAUCAAUUCAUUGAGUCUUAGUAAUUCUUUUCAUUUCCAUUCAUAUUCUCUCCUUUGAUAUUGUGUGUUAUCAUUUCUGCUGUGGAUUUUUGAAGAUGGAGGACUAGCUAGUUCAUCAGCCAAACUUAAUCAAGCUUUUGCAGGAUGAGGACAUGCCCACAAAAUUGGGUAGCUGAAGUCUAAUUCACAUUAAUCUUUACCUUCUGGUGAUCGGCUAAUCAUCCUUAUGUGAUCAUUUCUUUCAUCAGUCCUCAUGGAGGUUGACUAGUUUAUUAUCCUCACAAUAGUUCGCAUUCAUCACGGUCCUCAACGUACACAAAAAACAAUGAAGAUAAUGAAUGCUUGGAUAUUUAAGCAAUAGGGAACUGGUGAUGAACGAGUUGGGAAGAUGUAUGAUUGGAUUCUUUAGUGCUAGCUCAAAGUUCAUAUCAACUUCAAUUUGCAGAUUUUUCUACUUGUAUUUUCUUUCCUGAAUUAUUCGAAUAUCUGGAUCCCCAGAUUCAGAAUCAGAUGAGCAGGACUUCUAAGUUUCUUCCCAGAAAUUAAAAUUCAAAAAUCCAGCUCUUUGGAAGACUUUUUUUUAUUUCGUUUUAUUUUGGUAUUGGCAUUGGAUUGUUUUCUUUCCUGCAAGAAGUAGUACUAGUACUUCCCUGUUGUCCAAAUUUAGAAGCUACCUAAGCCAUCCCACAAGUACCAGAGAAAACAGGGGUGGAAAAAUUUGUAGUCGUUUUAUUAGGCUUAGCCAGUCAGGUUAUAGCAGAUACGAUACAUAUUACACUUAAUUUUGCAGGCUUUUUUUUUUUUUUCAGAAAAAAAAAGUAGUUGAUAUUUCUAGAUUUAUGCUCUUUAUUUCUGCGCAUAAACUUGAAUUAAACUCUUGACUGGUGCAAACAAGAAAGGGAAAAAAAAUAUAUAGAUUAUCUUUAAUUAGGAGAAUAAUGACUAAACCUUUUUUUCUUUAUAUAUAGAUUUUGAGGGAAUUAUUAUGUUAGCAAAAACCUAGAAAUAGUAGUAUUAUUUCCUGCUGUUUUAACACUUUCUGAUUAUCAUGUAGGCCCUAUAAUCAUUUAAAGUGAUAAAUGCUGUGAUCUUACUUUCCUAGUUUCCAAUCCAGUCAAACUAUUUACAAACUUUUUGUACUCUCAGGAAAGCAGGUCCAAAAAAGAGACAGUAGCAUCUUACUGCAAAGCAUUAUGUUAUUACUUGUUACAUACUUAAUUAACGAUUUUGAUUGUCGUCUUGUGAAUUGCAGGUGCAACAAGAAAUUGACUUAAGACACUAAUUGAUAUAUUUCAUCUGUUUCUUUUGUCUGCUUUUGAUAAUUGAGGGUUUGGUGGCUACAAAUUAAACAUGAAAAUUUAGCUAAUUAAGCUUUUAAUAAUAAUUAAGUUGGAGACUAGUUAGUUUGUGACAACGUAUUGUCUUGAUCAUCUUGUCUUCAACCAAACCUGCAUUAGCGAAUUUCAAAGUAUUCUAGUCGAAGAAAGAGAUGUUGGCCCAACCAGACAACGCCACUGACCCUUAUGUUAAAUCCUGUGAUUAAUGAUUAUCCUAUCCAAGGGACAUUGGAGUCUAACCUUCAUUUCAUUAACAAUUUGUGGGUAAUUAAGGGACUCCAACCUAAUAUUUACAUGUGCCAUGCAUAUUUAUUUAAACUGAAUUAUUAAGUAGUAGUAGAAUUGAAAUAAUAGCACAUAAACUUAAUUAGGAUAAACAGUCAGAUAUUAACACUUCAAACUAUGCUGAACUAGAAUAAUCUUCUUGGAAGGUACUAUUCAUUAUUCUCUUUUUCUUUUCUUUUUUUUUUUCCAUUUUCUCCCAAUUAUUCAGCUAGAGUUGGGCCAACAGGCGCCUAACAACAAAAAGAAAAACUAGUGCCAGAACCAGGCUGCGGCAAAAAACAAGAUAGGAUAAAAAGGAGCAAAAUAUUUGUAUUUUAGUGAUCGUGAGGUACCACAAUAUUUAGUUGUUCUAGUUGAAUUAAAACUUAGGUGAUAGUGACGAACUAAAAAUAAUGGAUAUCAAUUGUCCUCUUUGUUUAAUUUUUAGUAACAUUAUACACAAAGUCUAAAUUUCAAUCUGCAAAUUUACUAUUAAAAACUUGAUAUUUAUAAAUCAAAAAAAUAAUUUUUUUUUAAAUAGCGCGUGAGUGAGAGGGUUCGAAUUCAAAAUCUCACAUUUGCACUCUUUUAUUUUUAAAUAAAAGAGUGCUCUAUAUAUUAUCAAGAAACGUGCCAUCUAAAAACAUGCAACAUAAGAAAUAUCGCUCAUCUUCUGUUUAUUGGAUGCCAAAUCAAUUAAAUGCCGAAUCAAAUUUUGAUGUAAGAUGGUUGAUGUUUCAUGUUUCUUGAAGAGAUUUAUGAUUAAAACGUCAACUUUUAUGCUUAAAUUCAUCUGGAAUCAAACUUACAGCGCGAAGCUUACUGCGUUUGCCAUUCAAUUCUUGCGGCAUCAACAUGAUCUGAUCUGCGAUCAUGUUACUAAAACUGUUCUUUUCUUCUUUCCCCUUCAAAAGAAAAACGAUCAUGCACAGAAAGAAAAGGUGAACCGGAAAAAUCAAACAAAAGUGCUGUACAAGAAAGAAAAAAUAAAUAAUGGCAAAUGGGGUGAAGGAGUUGAAACAGUUAAAAGUCCAAAACUGAAGUGGGGCAAAGAUUGUCAGGCUGCACAGGAGCUGAAUCGCUAAUCUAAUAUUCUGCUGUCGGCCACAUAACAAUUGCCAUCUCAUCUCGUCUCAGCUAAGCCAAAAUUGAGGUGAGCUCAAGAAAUGGAAGUGAUGGAGCCAACCCCCGACACAAUAUGUGAUCAGUCAAAAUGGCAGCCUUAUCCACCCCCACGUGCAUUUUCUUAUCUUCAACCCCACCACCACCACCAUCCCAGCCCAUGAGGCAACCACCACCACCACCUCCACCUCCACAACGACCAUGACCUCCCUCCCCUUUCAAACCCCCCCAGUCCCCACUCCCUGUGAUUCUUUUCUAAUCAUCAAAAAAAUCCCCAUCAAAGUGGUCCGCCCGCCUACCCCUCCCUAGGCAUAUAGAUUCUUCCUAUGUAGUACUCGUAUACUUACUUCCAGUAUGGACUUGGACUAACAUGCAUACAUCAUCACUGCUGAAAAAUUUAACCGAUAUAUCUUCAAAAAAAAAAGAAAGAAAGAGAGGAACGUAAAACUUGUUUCAAGAUUCAGAUCAACUGCUAUAUGCAUGUAUAUAUGUAUGUUUGUGUGUGUAUAUAUAUAUCUUCUUGUACUUGGGAUGCAAUAGACGUUCAAUGCCAAUAUCUGACUAAGAUAAUUCAUAUCUCCUUCGUUACGUACGCUUGAAUGGAUGGUUGGCUUUGCAAUGGAUGAUAUAUCUCCCAGUUUUGGGGUCUAAUCUUAGCACCCGCCAAGCAUAUAUGCUCGCCCGUUUGUAGAUACAUCUGGGUGAAUUGAUGCGUAGUUUUGGUAGGUAAGGUGAGUCAGAGUUGAUAAGAACAGCUGACUAACGAGUAACUGGGUGGAAUCAUAAUUUACGUAAAUUAAAUGGGUCAGAAAGGCAAUUAUAUGAUAGGUCUACGCGUGUCAAUAUUUCUUCCCCUCCCAUGCGGCCCUUUGGCAUAGAUGCAAAGGAAGUGGAAAGCCUGGAAGGGGUUUCGUUAAGCUAGGGGCGGAGCCAGGAAAAAAUCCUAGUGGGGGCAAAAAUAAUACUAAAAUUUUUUAUUUACUCUUUUUCUAAUUUUUUAAGCAAAAAAAAAAAAAAGUUUCAGGCAUAAAAACACCGUUUCACAAGUUAAAAUAUUUAUCAAAUAACUCAUUUAUUAGUUAUUACAUUAACUAAUCAAUUUUCAAAUUUCUUUAAAACAGUAAUAGUCUCAUGCUCUAGAAAUAUAUUUGCAAACAAAUUUAAAAUAAUAAUAAUAAUAAGUAAUUGUUUAGAACCUGAUUUUGGUGGUCUCCUAAAGUUGGUGAAAAGAGUUGCAAAAUGUGGCGGACCCAAGUCCUAAAAGAUCAAUUGAUUUUGGUGCAAUCUCUAAAUAGAAUGAAGUGAUCAAAAGAAAGAGUAACAAACUUUGGUUGUGGAAAAAAAAAAUGGCUCUCCCGUGUAUGUUGGGGAGUGGGGACAACCAAGAGUCAGAUAAAGAAAGGGAAAUUGGGGAGUGGGGGCAAAGGAAGUAAAUGAUAAUUGGAUGAAGUGAUAAAAAGAAAAAAAUAGUUGGCUUGGAUGUGGAAGAAGAGGAGCCAGUUGUGAAGGGAAAUGGGGGACCACAGGAGUAAAGGGAACUUGGAGAGUGCGGACCAAAAGGAAUGACUGAUAUAAUUGGUACUUCGCCCUGUUGGUGGGAAAAUGAGAACUAGAGGAGGAAAAUGAAUGAUAUAAAUUUUGUGAUCUAUUCUUUCACAUUUUUUCUAAAAAAAAUUCUGGAAGCACCUUUAAAAUUAUGUCAAAAUUAUAGAUGUAUUAUAGGAAUUUAAGGGGAGCAGUGGGGCCGGUGCCCCCACUUUAAAUCCGCCCCUUGAGCUUAGAACCUUGGAAGGCUUUGGUGGGCAUCAUCACUUGAACUCAUUUCUCAAUUGUUUCUGUCAAUUGUGCCCGCAAUUAUUCGUUGUGAGAAAGUGAUUACAGAUGGGAGCAGUGGGCGCUUUCAUGCUAAAAGAAUGUGCUUUUGUCCACCUCCGAAACACCCCCCCCACCCCCUCCCAAAACCCCCAACCCUACAGCAAUUACCUCUGACUUGAAUAUAAAUUUAAAUCUAACAAAGAAAAUGAAGAAAAAAGGGGUUUAUGUGAUAAAUUUCUCGUAAUAAAGACGUGAUUACCUUUUUGCUGGUUAGAUUACGUUUGAUCGUUAGUCAUGAGGAUAGUUUGUAGGUAGGUUUCAUCAACGUAAAGGGUGAUUUGUUACUUACCUCUAAUGAGAGGGGGGUAAUUGAAAUUUAGCCUGGAAUGAAAGGAAGGAGAAAUCAAUCAUGCAGAGUCUAUAUAUCUUUUGAAUUUUUUAUUCUUGUGAGAGGAUUUAAUAUUGAGAAUCGAGAGGCCAAUGCAUUGCGAUAGAAACAAGAGAAGAAGAAGCCAGAAGUGGUCCAUUUCCACAUGGAUUAAUUUAACUCUUUCGGACUUGUGGCAUUAGGGGUUCAGCCUAGAUGGUGUCUUAUUGGGACACAGCCACUCAUGCAGCUCUGCAUUGCUUCUUUUUCUUUUGGUGCUUUGAACUUUGAAGGCUUGCCUGCUUCAUGAUGGUCAAGAAACUAAACUAUAGAUGUAAAAAAAAAAAAAACACACUCUUUUUUUCUUUCCAACCUCAAUGUCCUCCCUGUCCACCUCCAAUAAUAUAUCUAUCCAAAUCGAUCUGUGUGGAUGAUUGCUGAGAAUAGUAACCUUUUGCAUGCAAUUAUAUGAUCAAGCGUCUGCGUGUACAUGUGUGAAUUAACUGUGCUGUAGGAUUCGGCCGCGAAGAUAUAUGACAAAGUUUUGCAAGAUUCAAACGACUCAUGAUUUGAAGUUAGAGUAACAAUCAAUACGAAAAUGAGGGGAAAAAAAUGUUAUUGCAUGAUUACGAGUAUUGAAUUUACGUGACAAGAUCCAAUUCACAGGGUCCCUCCAUUGUGAUGAAAACAUUGCAUUUCACCUACAUUUGCUACCAUUUGACAUCUACUCCUAACUCUUCUGCCCGGUGGCGGAGGGAGGGGGGGAGUGACUAGCAAUAACUUUGUUUUUGCUCAUAAUAUUUUAUAGAUUUUUUUUUUUUUUUGGUAAUUUUCUUUUAACUUGUCCUCCCUCCGAGUCCGCAGGUAUUGUUUACCUUACAUGAUCUCUUGCCUUCUUCCCCUCCUCCUGUAACUUGACUUUUUGCCUAAAAAAUGUUAUGGUCCUUCUCUUCUUUAAAUUGCUGCCCAAAGUAAAACAUACUUAUUAUGUCAAAGAAAUCCUUGCUAAUUGGAGUAUAUCUUUUUGUGCAUGUAUUGUGUACAAGUUAAUCAGUAAAGAUUGUCAAAUAGAUGGAACAUUGGGUGGGGGUUUAAUCAGUUAAGAAAAUGAAAUCAAUAAAGUUAUGAACUUUCACAAAACGAUCAUUCUACCUGAAGUUAAAACGGAUGACACAUUUAAUAUCUAUCCUAUUCUGCACAUCAAUUAUUUUAUCUGCAGGAUAGGAAAAUCGGGUGUUACAUGGAAAUGCUACAACUCGUUAUCCAACUUGAAAAUACCAUUUAGAAGAUGACUUUAAGUUCACCACUUAAACCACUCUUUACUCUCAAGAAUCGAAACUGAUAAUCCUAGCAUGGCAAAUAGUGUGUGUGUGUGUGUGUGCGUGUGAAGUAUCUAGGCAGAAGCAAAAGGGUCCUGGAAAGGUGGAACUGGAGUGGACAAUAUUGUGAUAAAAAAAGAGUGUAGUUGCUGGCACAUUUUGGUGAAACUGCCCUCUGUCGAAUGCUUUAUACCGCGUUCCUUCCCACAUCAUCUCAAACAAGGAAAAAGAAAAAGAGGUACGAGACUUUCAGAUCAAAGUUUGGUGAUUCUUGAACAAAAGAGACACCUAAUUAUGACCCAGCCUCAACUUCUUUUUAUCUUGGAAGAAAAUUUUAAGUGACGAAUCAAAUGAGCAUCCAAAUCUUUGGAGUGCAUAUCAUCAUACUUAUUUAUUGUCUAUUACUCGCUCUUAGAAUUAUGAUAAUAGAGAAAAAAAAAUUAGAUGACCGUUCGUUUCCAAAAUUCAAUUUAACUCGUACGAACAUUAGUGUGAUCAUGAGUUUUCUCGUUCAACUCUUUAACCUUUUCUUUUUUUCUUUCCCCCGCUAAGUACUAUUCUACAUUUUGUUGAUUCGAUAUCUUCUUUAUUCAAACAAAUAUUUGGCCAGCUAGUAACACAAAAAAGAAGAAGAAGAAAAAUUACUCCCGCUUGAGCAAGCUGCCAAUGUAGGAGUGGAGCGUGCAACACAUGAUGUUCUACACCCCGAAAGUCCCAACCCCCACCCUUUGAGAGGGCACAAGGUCCACAACCGCACCCACCAGGCAGAGCAAUUACCAAUUCUGCAUCCUAGAAUGACUACUGCUGAAACCGAUCAUGUUAAGGCUAGGACCAGUCGUUUCUAAAAUCCAUUUAUAGGCCAACCAUAAUAUGACCUGUAAGGUUCUUAGGUUCAAUGAAUCCUUCAUUUACGUUGAUGGGACAUAUGAAUCCAUCUUUGUUCCAACGAAAUAAUGGUUGACCUGAUGCUGGAAUUCUCUCGAGUUCUCCGUUGAGUAUUCUAUUUAGGUAUAUGUACCUUAAGGGUCUGUUUGGUUCAUGGAAUGACACAGAAUAGUAUUUUUGAAGUAUAGAUAUAUAUAUAUAUAUAUACACACAAAACGGAUAGGCGCGAUCGUGAGUACUAAAUCAAGAUCUAAUUCUUACUACAUCAUAGUGUCUUUGGAGUACAUUAGCCCUUUUUACUUUAUCUCUCUAUGAAGAAUAAAUUAUCCUUACUUAAAGAAAAUAAUGUCAGCAGAUAUAUGGUAGUUUCCAUGAAUCCAUUUUUAGACAGAAAUUAUUGAGAGCUAUAGGGAGUUCAAAGUUUCAUGAGCUGCGGUGUGGUGCCAGAUUGUAUAAGGGCCCCAUGUAGCGAUUUUUUGUUGGACUGAUGAUUCGAUCUUUACAAACAGGUGUGAACAGAUAGUUCAGCCAUCAGUUCUUAAUGCUCUUAGUGGACUGAGGGACCAAAGCCCAGAGUUUGCCUAACAAGGACAAAUAUCAUAGGCCCAACAAUGGGCUAUUUUUUAUUUUUUAUUUUUAUAUUUUUUUAGUAUGAGUGGGAGGACUCCAACCAAGUUUUUAGAAAAAUUCCUACACUUUCACAGUGGAGAUGUUUCACUUUUUUUUUUUUUUGUGGUGUUCCAUUUUAAAUUUUUUUUUUUUUUUAAUGGGGGAUGUGGAGAAGAAGCAGGAAUGAAAUAAUGGGCAUAAAAACAGAGAAAUUUGACUAGCAAGUGACAGUAAUCAAUUGUCUUAACUAUUGGACUAAGGUUUAAUGAUUAGAUGCACUGUGCUCUUCCGCUGUGUUCCAUUUUGCAGGCUUCGUCAUCCAGAACUUUCAGCCCAGUAACCUUUUAUCCUGGAUCCAAAUGAGCCACCAUGACAUGCAGAUGUAGCUUCUAAAUCUGGACGAAUGGAGCAAAGUUAUCUGUCUGGGUUUGUAUGCUUUUUGUUCUUUAAUUUGAGCCAACUCAGGCCCAAGUAUGUUUCAUUUGUCACUCCUUCAAAGCAUGGCUCAAAAGCUUUAGCUUGACAUGCAAAUGAGCUUUGUAAUGCUUAAGUUUUGAGCGAACCAAGCAAUCUACAAACAAGUUCGUAUUUGCCUUGUUUGAGUUCUUGAUUUCGAACACAAAAUUAGACUGGUGGAAUAAUUUAGCCGCCCUCUCUUCUCCUCCCUUUCUUAAAUCUGGUCGUAUGAUUCGAUCGUGACCAAAUCUAUUCACACGACAAAAUUCCAUUGAAAAAGAGGACGAAGGUGUUUCGUUAACCCUUCCCUCUUCCCCCACCCCCUCUUCACGUCAUCACCUCCACUUUUCCCUCUCUCUCCUCCCCUUUCAUCCCCCUCCCUUGCAUUUAGAGCUGUUAAGCGUAACGAGCUACUCGAAAGCUCGUUAAGGCUCGGAUCGAUAAGGCUCGAGCUCGGCUCGUUAAUUUCAAUUAACGAGCCGAGCUCGAGCUCGAUAAAUACUCGUUGAGUUAUCGAGCCGAGUAAGCUCGAACUCGAUUCUUUAUCGAGUAGCUCGGUUGAGCUCGACAAAGAAGGGUAUUUGUGUCAUUUUAGCAGUCAACAAGUAGAAAUUUGGACUAGGGUUGAUAUUGCAUCGUCUCAUACUCUCAUUCUUCAUUUCUGCCUCUCCCUCUCCGCUGCACGCCGCACCCAGUAACCCACAGCCGCACCCACAGGCCACAGCCCCGCAACGCCGCAGCUCCGCAACCCUGCAACCCUGCAGCCCGGAUCUGGAUCAACCCUGCAACCCCGCAGCUCCGCAACCCUGCCAGCCCCGCAACACCGCAACCCGCAACCAGUAACCCACAGCCGCACCCACAGCCCCGCAACGCCUCAGCUCUGCAACCCCGCAGCAACCCCGCAGCCCCGCACAACCCCGCAACCCCGCAGCCCGCAACCCCGCAACACCGUAACCCCGCACUCCACAGCAAGCCGCACUCCACAGCUGCAACCCACAGCAACCUCUGCCUCCACUGCCGCCCACAGCCUCUGUUUUCUGCCAUUAACAACCCCGUCCACGGCCAGGGCCAAAACCAGUCCAAUUUGACUGGUUUCUCUAAUCCUUCGUGAUAUUUGGUAAGUCUCGUCUCUUUUCGUAGGUUAAUUGUACUGAAUGACAAGAGUUCAUUCUUGUCUCUUUUCUGGUUUAGUAGCAGUUGGUAAUGUAGUAGUUGACACAUCUCAUAUGUACAAGGAUGGAUCAACAAAUUUUCUUCUCGCGUGAGGACUGCAUCCAACCUCUUUGUUUUAUUCCUUUCUGCAAUAACUUGCAGUUCAAUCAUAGAAAUUUAAUGUGGAAAAUCUAGAUUAUGCUUAUUAAUAUCUGAUAAUUUUAAAGAGUACUCGAAAAGAUAACGUCUGAGUUUUUGCAGUAGUUUUACCUUUUCUUCAUGGAUUUCUUGGGGGGAUGGGGUGGGGAAGCAAGAAGUGUUCUGCUUGUGGGUAUAAUCUGCUGCUAAAUGUGCCUAUAAAUCUUUUCUAAAACUUAAUUAUUAGUACAAUUAGAUAUUGCACUUCAAUAUCUGGAGGAUUGAAAGGGAAGAAAAUAAGUAUGGUUGAUUAAGACUUCUUAUUUGUGAAAUUUGAGAAAAAAGAUGUAAGGAUGUUAACCUUGAUAUCAAAAAAGCCUUACGGACUUAAUUUGGACAGCAUACUUCUUUUUUUUUGGGUAAAUUUUUGAUCUUUUGAAUGAAACAUGUCAAUGUUCGUGAGCUAACUGUUGCACUAUCACAGGGAUUGAUUGGCCUUUCAUUUCAUUUCAUUUCAAUUUCAAAGUGUUUGAUUAGUUUGAUAUUUUCGUCUUGGGGCCAUUUAUGUGUGUGUGAAUUGAGUUAAAUGAAUUGUUGAAUGAAUAAUAUAGGCACUACACCAUAUGUGCCUUCAUCUAUUUUGUUCAGCCUCUCGAACUCAUCAACACUUUUACAACCCUGAAGCAUGUUCACGGCCCUUGGUGGAGGAACUGCAUGUUCUGGUGUCCCGUGGGAGUUGUGUUCAUCAUCAGAACCAGUAUCCGCAUUGCUACCACUGGUUCCACCAUAACUGCGAUCUUCAUCAACCUCCAUGUACUCAUUCCUGUCCAAUUCAUCAGGAUCACUAUCUCCACUAAAGGAUCUAACGCGUUCAUCAGAAGACCUGACCCUAUUUCCCACUGAACCUUCUCUCCUCAGUUCCAUGUACUCAUUCCUUGUGAAGCUGUACUUAUUCUUGUGAUUUCUGAAGGGGUUGUACUUUUUCUUGUCAGGUGUUUGAAGUUGGACAAUUUUUAAGCUAUGUAGCAGUGUUUUACAUGGUUAUUUGGCUGUAGUUUGUGCGUUUAUUUGGCUGGACAAAACCUGUUAUGGUAUAUUGGCUCUUAUGAAUGUUGUUUCAUAUGGAAUUAGACUGUAGUUUGUGUAUUUGUUGACUGCAGCCCUGGAGUUUGUGUUGUAUGGAUCAUGGAUGUUAUGGUCUUAUUUGUCUUGGAUGAAAUGUGGUUAGAGUUUGUGUAUUGUUGAAUGUGAAUGGCAUUGGUUGCCAAUCCUAAUAUUUUUUGUUGAUUUUGGAUAGCCUAAAUCUGGAUAUGUUGGAGCAGGACUUCGUAAAUAACUGAUUGUUGAAUUUUGAAAUCGAGCCUCAAAAUCGAGUCUCGAGCUUCGAACUCGAGUCUAAAAUCAAGCCUCGAGCCUCGAACUCGAGCCUUGAGCUCGGAUAGAUAUUUCGAGCUCGAGCUCGAGCUCGUCCCGAGCCUGGCUCGUUUAUGAUAAACGAGUCGAGCUCGAGCUCGAGUUCGAGUCACAUUUCCUUUUUUCGAGUCGAGUUCGAGUGCGUAUUAUGGCUCGUUAGCGCUAUCGAGCGAGCUCGAGCUUGGCUCGAAUUCGUCACGAGUCGAGCUCGGCGUUCAGAUACUCGGCUCGACUCGGCUCGAUUAACAGCACUACUUGCAUUCCCCCACCACCUUCCUCUUUCUCCACAUUGGUUCCCUUUCUCCUUCACCCCCGUCCUCCCUUCCCCCUCCCCUCCUUGAAUCUAGCAGGAAUGAACGACCAGGUUGUGACCAAAUCUGGUCACACAACAAGAUCCCAUGGGAAAGGAGGGAGGAAAACCUAAAACAGGAAGGCGGGGAGGCAAGAAAUAGAAGGUGAAGUGCUACAAGAGGAGAAAAGGUGGAGAAAAAUGAGGAAAUGGAAGGCAGAAGAACAGAGGGAGGAUAAGGAAGGUGAGGUGGUAGAGAAGGGAAAAAAGAAAGAAAAGGGAGUAACAGAGGAAACAGGAAAAACUGCAAAUUAUAAAAAUACUCCAAAUAUAUUUCAAAUUUUAAAGGCACGUAAAAUACAAUUGCACAGUAAAUUUUUACUAUACAAUCCUAUAGUAUAAUUUUUAUAAAAUAUCCCAAAAAAUGUCUAAUCCAUGCCAAUCCAUAGGUUUACAUAUGAUGGUAUCUAUAAUUGUAAAUGAAGUAAAACUUGAUAAGCCACCUUUCCAUUUUCUCGCAUGACCCUAAUCUUGGUCUUAUCUCGAUAAAAAGAGGGAAAAAUACAAAAGAAAAUGCAAAACAAAUAAAAAAAUGUCAGAAAAGCACAUUUUAGUUAUGAUAAAAUAAACAAAAGCAUACCCAUCAAGUUACAAUUGUAACAGGUACAAGGAAGCUGUCAUACAAACUUACGUUCAACUGAGAAGCUAGUCAAAACAUGGGCUACUAUAUGAGCCUAUACAUCAUUCAAGUAUUCUGAUUCAAAAUGAACAUUUUUAGCAAGAAGCUUCAAAUUGACAGCUUCAAAGUCAGUCGUCCUUUCUCUCCAUUCCGUGCUUCAGACAAAAAACCCACCUGUGCUCCUGCUUGUCAAGUACCGUGCUCCUCAAUGUCAGCAGAUUUGUUUCCACCCCAUGAUAUAAAACUAUCCUGAGAUGCAAAUUCCUGCAAUUUGUUUCCACCCCAUGAUAUAAAACUAUCCUGAGAUGCAAAUUCCUGCAAAGCACUUGAAACCUUGAACUAGAACUAAAGAAGGUGAAGGUAGUAGUAAACUAACCAAGAUAAAGUAGACUACUAAUAUAAUAUGAAGCAGGGAGAGGAGGUUUGAACUCACAAGCUGGCUCAACCGGAAGUCAGGAGGUGUAUCUAGCUCCAGGUUUACUGGAUCAAGGACCAGAUCUUGGCACUCUUCUAAAUCUUUCUUCAAAUGUUCAGGUCCUAAGUGGGCAUAAUCAGCAAGACGAGGUUUGGGUUUUAAUUCUUGCUCAUUUUUAUCUCCAUCUCUGUUUGGAGAUUGGCUCCGUAGAAACUCAUCACAUAAAGAUAGUGCUUCUACAAGUUGCUGUGAGUCUAGCAAGUAUUGUGAUUCACUAUCCCACCACUCUCUCUUCUCACCAGCAUCAUUGUCGGUUUUAUCAUCCUGUUGAUCAGCAAGAUCCACAGCAGUGACAGGAUCUUCACAAUUGGGCUGGUCGCUUGGAGGUCUAACCUCAUCUUCCAUGCAAACCACACCAUGAUGCUACAGAAUAAUUAACAAUCACUGAAUGAUAGAUAAUGGAGAUGUUAAUAGAAUUUCUAAUUCUCCACCCUGGCAAGAGUCCUCUACCAUCGUGAUUUUGGUGGUUGUGCUACCCCGCAAACUUCUUUUUUUAAAGUUCAUAAAUGAGUAUAAGAUCAAUACAAUGAACAAAAAAUGAUGUAACAGCCACAGAACACAAAGGUGCCUUUGAUUGGCGGUCAUAAGAAGCAAAAUGAAUGGCAAAUACUAAACACCCCCACCCUUCAUGGUAUCUGGAAGUGCCAAAUUGAAAUGAUUUUAAACAGGGAGGACCCAACUUUACCUGAGCCGCUGGAAGAACAGAUUCUUGGGCAUCACAAUCAGGGAAGUGGCUUUCAGUACGAGGUGGUUCAGGGGUCACAGACUUGGGAGUAACAGGAUCUACCUUGACAAUCGAGGCAUCAUCUUCUGGAACUUCUACUUCAGCCUUUUCAUUCUGCUUGACCUGUUGCUGCUGAUAAAAGACCUUGGAGAUAACAUAUUCUCCCUCCCUUUCAUCUUCCUCUGUACCAAGGUGAUACUGGUGCAUCACCCAAUUAGUCUUCUCUGGCUUGCCACCUCUUACUGGGCUAAGAUACAGCACCAUAAUUUUUUUACAUCCUUUUUGUAUACAAUCCAAAUGAACAGGCUUUGUCCGACCAGUCUUAUGCCAACGAACAUCUCCAGAACUGUCACCAAGUAUCUUUCGACGUUUUCUAGUUCCAGUAUUAUAAGCUUUGAUUGCCCUGUGAAAAAAGUGUGCUACACUUCCAUCCUGUUUAACACCUAAAAACCACUACUUUAAAAGACUGAAGUCCAAAGAAAACAAUUACAAACCAAAGCAUUAAAGUGGAAUUAUUAAGUCUUGUAUAUGUAAACAUAACCUACCAGGCAAAUUUUGAGGAUGGGUAUAGCAGAUUCCAUCAUCUUCAUUAACAGUUGGAAUAAAUUCUUCAAUAAAAGGAUGGGGCUUCAUAUUUUCAAUUCCAACUUUUCCAAGUAAAUGCCAAAUAAUUUCUUGAUCAGAUGGAUCAAACUUUACCCCUCGAGGUAAUCCCGGCCACUCUUGGGUGACCUGAAAAAACAAAGACAGAAGAAAGAAACAAACGAUUUUCAGCUUUCAGUCUCUAACUGCUCCUAUGCACUUUUAAUAUGAGGAAAACAUCUUUUGGAAAACUGGCAACUAAAUGUUCUGUUCAUCUCACUACUAUGUUUUUGCUCUAGCAAAGCAAAUGGGCUUAACCUUCGACACAGCCACAUGGGACAAAUACGCAUAAAAGCAUACCAAAAUUUUAACGAAGCUGAAAAUCAGAAAAUCAAUUCAUCCUGCCCCACAAUUAUUGAUUUCUCUUACACAAUUAAAAAUAGCAAUGUCCAUAGGCUUUCUCUUACACAAGUAUUUUUGCAUUUCAACCACACCUAAAAGAACAAUACUGAUUAUUAAAUAAUGAUCCAAUGAAGAAAGCACAGGCAAGUAGAAAGAGAUGGGUCACAGAUAUUAAAUAUGAUAAUCUUUCUUCUCAAUUAACCACUCCCAGAAACUAAUUUCCAACAAUAAAUUUGUGUUUCUGAUUAAGAAGCAACUACUGCUGAAGCUUGUUCCAGAUAAUAUGAUGCACAUCCAUUUUGAGAUAUGCAAAAAUUUAUGAGAGAAGAAAUAUACAUCGCUAUUGUCAAUGACAUGCUGACAAUUUGGGCAAGUUUUUGUAGGAUUGCUUGUCCAGUUAACUUGUUGCAGAUUACUUGCGCCAGAUGCACUCCUAAUUUUGGUUGCAAUUCUGUUACUAUCAACCAGCCACGAUGGUCUGCAUAAUUUCACGAAAUAAAUCAAGUUCAUGCACUGAACAGCUUGAAAGCUUAAGAAGUGCCAAAGCAGAUGAGACCCAUAAGAAUAGAGGAUAUUGACACGGAAGUAAAUAUUAGACCACAUAUAAUUAGGAUUCUACAGCAUACAGAAAAUGUAUGAAAAUAUAGAUUUGAAAAGUAAGCAAGCAUAAUUAGCAGCACAGGAAAAAUGUACAUAAGAUUUCACACCAAUUAAAGCAUAAUCUUGCCAAACAAUAAAAUCAUUUCACAUUCACUACAUCUGGAUUUGCAUUUAGAGGAAAGAACCAUACUUAGAAGCACAACAAAAUCAGUGGGAAGAUACUUUGCUCCUCUACUAAAUGCAAAUCAAUUUCGAAACUUUUCUCAACUUCAUCCUUUAAUAGGCAGCACAGAGUAAACUUCUCCAAAGAAGUUGUUUUUACCAGCCAGAAAUAAAUACAUCCAUUGCUUAUUAUCAAUAAAAGCUAAUGAGGUUUAUCAGAAGUUAUGUUAUGAAUAUAUAUAUAUAUAUAUAUAUAUAUAUAUAUAUAUAUAUAUAUAUAUAUAUAUAUAUAUAUCCUUUAAGGAGCUACCUGCAUCCAAAAGAAUUAUCUGCAGGCUUAAAAUUUAGGACUACAGGAGUCAACAAAAUAAUUUCAUUCUUUUAGAUGUUUUUCUAUUCAGAAUAAGAAUUACACUCCAUUAAGUAUUAGAAAUUUUCUUGAAUAACAUUAAAUAUCCAAUUCAUGUUCUCGUGCUAAGUUUUACUCAAGACACGUCAGACCUCAUUUACCUGAAAUAAUGGCCCUUCUCUUGCAAAUACAAGUCAUGUUAUCUCACUUUGCUCAUUUCCAAACAUAACUAUUAUGGGAUGUUGGCCCCUUUCUCAAGAUGAAAAAAAAAAAGAAACAAAAAAAAGAUGACAAUGGAGGAUAUUCUCCUAAUAACAUCUGUUCCAACAACUGAAAAUGGCUAUGGUUCAUAUCGAUGUUUGAAUGUGAUAAAAAUUGCAUAUUUAUACGAUUUUGACUUGAGCCGGAAAGCCUUUGCAGACAUCCUCAACUUUCUCAAUCACAAAACAAACACAAACCUGAAUUAGUUGACUUCUUGUGUAUUACUGAAUUUAAUAGAUCAAUAUACUCAAAACUGACUACAUUCACCCAUUAAAUGAAUAAAAAAAAAUAAAUGAAUAGAAAGGGGCAAUCACAACUUCUCGACUGUAAAAUCGGGAAAGCAAGAAAAUCAAUCCCCUGAAAACCAGCAGGCAAAUAUUCCCACAUUGACCAUUCAACGCCAGAACCAGCAAUUCUUUUUUAGCUACAUGCAGCUCUAAACGUCUUAUAGGAAUAUCAAGCACCAAAACUCACCGCUAUCAACGAAAACUCACAUGAUAUAAUCACAUGCACAUAUAUCUCCAACUGCAAAAAAUAGAUCUUUUACGGAGGUUGCAGCUACAAGUUUAAUUUUAUAUUUUUGUUUUAUAGCCUAAUCAGAAUUUAAAUUUUUUUUUUUUUUUUUUAUAAGUGGGAGGUCUUGGGUUGCAAGAACUCCUACUUACAAUCCCCCUCCCUUACCAUCCAACUCAACCCUCCCCGCCAUCGCCUAAUCAGAUAAGUAAAAAAUAGUUAAUAAACAACAAACUUAUUUCCAAGAAGGAGGCAGAGGGCCGGGUUGGGAGGAACCAUCGCUUUAUCGGAAACACUCAGAGUACAAAACCACCACCACCACCAUCAUUUCCCAAAAAAAAAAAAAAAGGCUUCACAUGAUCUUUCAGGCUAAUCCACAAAAUGGGUAAAGCUGAUAAACCAAAAAAAACAAAAACAAAAUCCGUUCUUUCAUCAAAACCACAAGACCCAACUCAGAGUUGACCUAGAAGAUUCAAUAGAUACUCAUAAAGAUUCAAUCUUUGCACUAUCUACAAGUCAAUGAGUUCGACAAAAUCAAGUCUAUGGUGAAUUUUCAGUAAACAGCACAAGAGGAAUAAAAGGAAGGAGACCACAAGCAGAGACAUACCGAGCCAUGGGAGAAUGGAUGUGAUCAAAGGCAGCAAAAAGUGAAACAAAUGCCCCUUUUCUUCUACUAUUUAAUGCUUUGAAUUCGUACUGCAACUAGUGCUUCUACAGUUCUCCACCUACUAAUACAUUAACUAUUAAAGCAUCUUGGGAAUUUCCCAAAUAAUAGUAGUGUAGUUUAAGAGGUUUCAUAAGUGUUUUCAGUUUUCCUAGCCAUUAUAUACUGCUAUGUGCUUCGGACGCAUUUUUUGGUGAAUUUUGAAAAAUUUGAAAGCGUGUCUUGGCAUUGUUUCAGUCUACUUACUGUGCUUUGAGUACGACGAUGAUGGUUUGACUAUUGACUAGACAACCUGUGAUUAAUCAAUACCUACAGAAAAAUGGAAUUGAAAGUGGAAAAGGCCAUCAACCGACACUUAGUAGGAGUUUGGCCACUGAUUGUUUUAUACUAGGCCACAUGUUGUUUGAUUUAUGUUCAUCUCAAUAAUGCUAAAUUGAUUGUUGCCUUUUUUUUCUUAAUGCUAUUUUACAUCGUAAACAUGUUUUCGGCAACUGCUAAAUUGAUUGUUACGGUAUAUUUUUUUUUUUAUAAAUUAUUCAAAAUAAUCUCUUAUCGACACACACUCUCGGACUGUUUCUAAGAGCAUAAUGUUUUAUUUAUGAGAGGAAAAAGUCCAAAUUGUUCAAUACUUUCCCACAAAAUACUAGCAAUUUGAUAAAAAGUUUAAUACUUUGUUCUAGAUUGUUAGGUAAUACCACAAGAAUCAAACGUGUAAAGAAGGGCUCAAAGGUGGAUCAAAUUACUUGAUCCUUAAAUCAAGUUCGUUCAUUUUCUAUUUUCUAACUCGUUAAACAAAUCAUAAAGUAUUUGGUUAAGUUUCAAACCUCGCUAGAGUUUGGUUUGAUUAGCAUAAAUUUUGAAACAUAUAUAUAUAUAUAUAUAUCAAAUAUCUAUACUAUAUAAAAAGUUUGAGAAAGGGGUUUGGGAUUAACAUUUAUCAUCAUUUUAUAAACCUUCUUUUUUAUCCUUAUAAAAAUUACUUUUAUUUUAACUACCUAUAACUACUCAUGACUAUUUUUACUUUUAACUAUUUAAAUAUAUGUUUUAAACGUAACUAUUCCUACAUAUCAUAGCUACCAAUAUAAAAUUAUUAUAUAAAAUAUAUAUUUAAAAGAUUAAAGUUUGUUUUAGUAAUAACAAUUUUAUUUAAAACAUAACCGAUAAUAUUAUGUAGUUUUUGAUUGCACAUGCAUUAGUGUGUAUUGAGUAAUAGUUAAAUUUAGGGAUAAUUUCAGAAACCUCCCCUGAGGUUUUUGACAUUUACACUUACCUCCCCUGUGGUUUGAACAAUUACACUGACCUCCCCUGAGGUUACUAAUCCUUUACAAAUUCAGUCCAAAUGAUUAAAAUAUUAUUUUAGAGAGUGAAAUUAGAAUUUUGUACCUGAUUUGUCCUUUGUGUCACAUGUCCAAUGAAUGGCAAAGUAUUACAAAUUAAUUAACAAUUAAUAAACUUUAACGAGCGUAGUUUAUAGGCAAAUACGUAUUGCCUAUUUAAAGUACCAGCUCUUUACAUGAAUUUUAUUUUCAAGCAUUUACUUUAUCACAAAUAUUUAUUCUCAAAUACAGAUUUGUAUUUAUUCUCAAAUAUUUAAUUUUUGUUAAAUACAAAACCUACCAGUUUUUCUUCCGUAGAAAUAUUAAUAUAACAUUUUUUCAAUUUCAAUUACAAAUAUUUAUGUAUUUAACAUAAAUUAAAUGAUUCAGAAUAAAAUACUCAUAAAGAGCUAAUACUUUACUCAUGUAAUGGAUGAAAGCCAUAAAAAAUUAACAUUUUAUAGGCCAUUUCUUUUUUUUAAAAAAUUUUAAUUUAUAUUAAAUAGAUAGCCUAUCGAUUUUCUUUUUACAAGAAUAUUAUUGUAACACCUUUUAAUUUUUAAUUACAAAUAUUGAUAUAUUUAUUGUAAAUUAAAUAUUUAAAAAUAAAAUAACUGUAAAGAGCCGGUACUUUAAAUAAGUUAUGCGUGUUUGCCUAUAAACUACACUCCUUACUUAAAUCAAUAAACUACACUCCUUAACUUAAAUCAAUAAACUAUACUCCUUACUUUAAAUAGUGUAGUUUAUAGGCAAAUAUGCAUAUCCUAUUUAAAGUAUCGGCUCUUUACAGAUAUUUUAUUUUCAAAUAUUUAAUUUAUGAUAAAUAUAUUAACAUUUGUAAUUAAAAAUUAAAAAGUGUUAAAGUAAUAUUCUUGUAAAAAAAAUCAGUAGGUUAUCUAUUUAAUAUAAAUUAAAUAUUUUUAAAAAAAUAAAUGGCCUCAUAAACUAUUAAUUUUUUAUGACUUUCAUCCAUUACAUGAGUAAAGUAUUGGCUCUUUAUGGAUAUUUUAUCAUAAAUCAUUUAAUUUAUGUUAAAUACAUAAAUAUUUAUAACUAAAAUUGAAAAAGUGUUAUAUUAAUAUUUCUACGCAAGAAAAACUGGUAGGUUUUGUGUUUAACAAAAAUUAAAUAUUUGAGAGUAAAUACAAAUCUGUAUUUGAGAAUAAAUAUUUGUGAUAAAAUAAAUGUUUGAAAGUAAAAUACAUGUAAAGAACUGGUACUUUAAAUAGACAAUACGUAUUUGCCUAUAAACUACGCUCGUUAAAGUUUAUUAAUUGUUAAUUAAUUUGUAAUACUUUGCCAUUCAUUGGACAUGUGGCACAAAGGACAAAUCAGGUACAAAAUUCAAAUUUCACUUUCUAAAAUAAUAUUUUAAUCAUUUAGACUGAAUUUGUAAAGGAUUAAUAACCUCAGGGGAGGUCAGUGUAAUUGUUCAAACCACAGGGAAGGCAAGUGUAAAUGUCAGAAACCUCAGGGGAGAUUUCUGAAAUUAUCCCUUUAAUUUACUCAAACUCAGUUCGAUAAGAGUUCGAUUCAAUAAAUAAACAUAUCAAGUUUAAACAUAAUAUUCUUUCUUUGAGGAGAGAUUGAACAUAAUUUCAAGUUAAAUAAUAAUAAACAAAUAAGCUUGAACUCUUUCACUUCAGAUCAGUAAUGUAAAUGAUUUUAAUUAAAUCAAACACUUUUUUUUUUUUUUAAAUCGUUUACGCCACUUAUCUUAAGUGGAUACUACUAAAGCUAUUGGCAGUGGGCUGACUGUGAUGAUUUUUCUCACGCAAGCAAUUAUAUAAUAGCCCAUAGCAGUUAGCAUACACAAAAUUGGUCAAUUUGAAUUCCAAACAGACACAAAAUAAGCCCAGCAUAGUAAAUCGCCCAUAACCCCACAACAAGCUCUAUUAGGCUGACCACUGAUCCACUGCCAAAUUGCCACCUAACACAACUUAGCUCCGCUCUGCCCCCUGCGCAAAAACUCGGGGGUAAAAAAAAACCGCCACAACUCCGGCACCGUACGAUGAGCAGCAAAGCCCGUAAUUUCCGCCGCCGCGGCGGAGAUGACGCUGACGACGACGAAGACAACGACAAGAGUACCAGAACCCCCACCACCAACGGCUCCACCACCACAUCAUCAAAACCCCAAUUCAAAUCCAUUUCCUCCGCCACAAGACCUAAAAAACCGGUAACUGCAGUUCCCAAAAGCCGCCUGAGCUUCGCUGACGAUGAGGAAGCCGACGCCGACCAAUUGCCCAUUAAACCUCGUCCCUCUUCAUCAAACUCUCGUCUCCCCAGACCCUCUUCUUCUUCCUCUUCUCAUCAUAAGCUCAGCUCGUCUAAAGACCGAAUUGGGCCUCAAACGACGGCGUCGCUACCUUCCAAUGUGCAACCCCAAGCUGGAACUUACACCAAAGAAGCCCUCCUUGAGCUCCAGAAGAACACUAGAACCCUCGCCUCUUCCCGUUCAGCCCGGCCCGAACCUCCCAAAUCGAAGCCCGAAGUGACGCCCACUGAGCCCGUUAUCGUAUUGAAAGGGCUAGUGAAGCCAAAACCUAAUAUGGUUGAUGAUGCAGAUGGGGAAAUCGAGAAUGACGAGAUGGGUGUUGAGCAGCAAGGCGAUUUGGUGAGAACUGAGAGAGAUGAGGCAAAGUUUAGAUUGGGUUUGAGAGGGAAAAGUGAGGUUUCUGGGGGAGUCAUACCAGACCAGGCGACAAUAGACGCGAUAAGGGCAAAAAGAGAGAGGCUCAGGCAGGCAGGUCCCGCAGCCCAGGAUUAUAUAUCAUUGGAUGGAGGAAGUAAUCACGGUGAAGCCGAGGGGUUGAGCGAUGAGGAGCCAGAAUUUCGAGGGAGAAUCGGGUUUUUUGGAGCAAAAAUUGAUGGUGGGAAGAAGGGCGUGUUUGAGGAUUUUGAGGAGAGAGUAACGGCAAAGGAUAGCGCUGUUCUUAAUAGCGAUGAUGAGGAUGAGGAAGAAUUGGAAAAGUUGUGGGAAGAGGAGCAGGCAAGGAAAGGUUUGGGAUUAGGAAAGAGGCUAGAUGAUGGCGUUAGUGUAGGAGUCAGUAGUAGUACUGCUGGUGGUAGUAGUGUUAAUGUGCCUCAGAGUGUCCCUCAGCAGAAAUUUGGUUAUCCAAUCGUGGCCUCUGGUAGUGUAUAUUCUUCAGUGCAGAUUAGUUCUGUUGAUACUGUUGGUCCUAGUAUUGGGGGUGCUGUUGGGGGAUUGCCUGGAUCAGAUGAAAUGCCGAUAUCACAAAAAGCUGAGCUCGCUAAGAAAGUUUUGUAUGACAAUGUGAAGAUGCUUAAGGUAUGCAUUGGCAUUUAUUCCUAGUGUUUGUUUUGAAAUUUGAUUACUUAUUCUUUGUUUUAUAAGUUUAAGUAGGAUUUCUUCUGGAAAUACAGCAUUAUCAGUUUAAGUUGUAAAUUAGCUGUGAGAUUACCAUUGCAAGUAGAAAAACAAGAAUUACUGGAUAAAGCAUUUAAUUAAUAGUUUUCUGCUUCUGUCUUGACCAGUAUUAAUUUGGACAUUUAGAAGGUAUUUGAGUUUAAUACCAAUAUGUUGCUCUGAAGAAAAUGUUCAUUGGUGUUUACAAGUUUUAUUUUCUUCCCUCUGUUUAUGUAGUGAUUGCAACUGAUCUGUUAUUGUCUUUUGACUUAUCUUUUUCUUAGGAGUCUCAUAAGAAAACAAUGGAUACAUUAACAAGGAAUGAUGAAAAUCUAUCCGCUUCACUGUUGAAUGUCACCAAGCUGGAAAAUUCAUUAUCUGCUGCUGGUGAGAAGUUCAUCUUUAUGCAAAAGCUUCGUGAGUUUGUUUCUGUUAUAUGUGACUUUUUGCAGGUACGGAUUAUCUGAUUUAUCAAUCUCCAAUUUAUUUUGGUGCCCUCCAUAGUUGCCAAAUCUUAACGUGAUAGAUCAAUUAUGUUGUUCUCUUUAUUUGUUUUGCUACUGUCACUGAGCAUAAGUGACUGAAAGUAUGGAGAAUCUGUUGUCCUAACACCCCCCAUCUUUAUUUUUCGGUAUAUGUUAAAUCCUGUUGUUAGUUAUUAGGAGCUUUGAGGUUAUAACUACUUAGAUUGCUUCACUUCAGCCAUCUUUAGCUUCUCUUCCAAUUUUUCUGUCACUGUAUAGAUCCAAGUAGGUUUUGGUACUGAAGGAUCUAUAAAUAUUGUUAUUUUGGAGUUCUUAACUCAUAUGUUGGUUUACUGCUUUGAAUCAUGUUGUUUAACGUGCUACUUUUGUAAUUUUGAAGAUAAUUUUAUCAAUUUUGGAACUUUCAGAUUUUCUAGUGUCUUUUACAUGUAUGCUCUGUUAGUUGACGUAUAUUUAGUUCUUUUCUUUAUCAUCUAUCAAUUAAGACGAUGUAGAUGAGGUUGCGUUCUUCUCAUGGCAGUACAUGCUAUUUUUUCUCUUUCUAAAUUCAGGCGGAAUUAUGAACUGAGGUUCAUAAUAUUUAGGGCAGCAAUUGUGGAAGAGUUGGUUAUAUAGGUUGUCUUGUCUCCUUUAGUGUGAUGAUGAGCAUGAAAGUGGCAUAUAGAGAAUUAUUCUUUUUCAAAGAAUGUCUCAGGGACCCAUCUGAUGGUUUUUUUGACUGCUUAAAUUUUGAUGAUUCUGGGUGUCAAUUGUAUAUUCACCUCUUUCCUCAUUUAGUUUCAAUUUUCUUCUGUUGGCUUUGGAUAAUGUUCUCCUGUUUGGUAUCAUUGCCAUUGUGGAUUAUCUGCUGUUGUAGUGCUCCUCGUGCUCCCAAUAUUCAUGCAUACAUAUUCCUCCUCACUUUGAGCAGCAAUACAGACACUACUGCUUGCUUGUGAAUGAAGUCAUUGUGCAAUACAUAGAUAGAAGAAAGUUUUUUGAUCCUCAGUUGUUUUUCUCAAGUUGAAGAAUAUCUUCAUCUGUGCUAUAUUGUUAUUUUGUGAGUGAGCUGUGUGGAUUCAUACUGGAUGUAAAUUUGAGACUUCUCUUUUGGUUUAUGUGCUAUUCACUCUGUUGCAUUUUAUACGUCACUAUUUUGGUUUGUGUCAAAAAAGUUUCAAGAAAGUAUAUAAAGCCUAACUUGACCCUUUAUACAAAUCCUAAGAAAUAAUCGUAGGAGGCAUGUUGCCAUGAUAAAUAACAUUACAAACCAUCUCUUAACUAUGGUAGUUGUGCCUCAUGUAAAACUUCAAAUUCAACUAACAAAAUAUUGUUGUUCAAUUGAUGGGCAAUAAUGGGAACAGUUGCUUUGCUAGCUGAUGUAUUUUUGUCAUACUCUACUUUUCUUAAGUAUGCACAAAGUUGUCAAUGACAUAUAAUGUGGGUUGGAGAAGAAUUCUGUGGAUACUCUAGGGUUUUCUGGUUUAACAUCUUGCCCUUGCCCUGGUUACAUGUAGGAGUUUCCAUUACUUUCCUUGAAGGGCUUUGAGCAUUUUGUUUGGCUGUUUUCAUCUUUUGUUUCUUGUUCUUGGUCUACUCUGCUAGAUAGUGUUUUCUAAAUGUAACAUUAAUGUAAUUUUGAUCUGAUAUUAAUCUUGCUCUUUGCAGCAUAAGGCUCCUUUCAUUGAAGAACUUGAAGAUCAGAUGCAGAAGCUACACGAAGAAAGAGCAGCUGCAAUUCUAGAAAGAAGAAUCGCUGAUAAUAACGAUGAAAUGAAGGAAUUAGAACCAGCUGUGAGUGCAGCAAUGUCUGUUUUUCGUAAAGGUGGAAGCAGUGCAGCAAUGAUAGAAUCAGCUAUAAGUGCUGCUCAGGCUGCAUCUGCAGCUGCAAGAGAAUUAAGAGACUUACCUGUGGAGCUAGAUGAACUUGGCAGAGAUUUGAAUCUGCAGAAACGAAUGGAUUUAGCUAGGAGGGCAGAGGCUCGACAAUACAGGAAAGCUAAGUCAGAUUCAAAGAGAUUGUUGUCCAUGGAAAUUGACAGUCCUAAUCGGCCAAUGGAAGGGGAAUCAAGUACUGAUGAAAGUGACAGUGAGAGUACAGCUUAUCAGUCAAGUCGUAAUCAGUUGCUUCAGAUUUCUGAACAGAUCUUCAGUGAUGCAGCUGACGAUUAUGCUCAACUUUCAGCAGUUGUAGAAAGGUUUGAGAGAUGGAAAAAGGAGUAUGCUUCAAGCUACCGUGAUGCUUAUAUGUCACUAAGUGCGCCUACUAUUUUCACUCCUUAUGUAAGGCUUGAGCUUCUAAAGUGGGAUCCACUUCAUGAGGAUUCAGACUUUAUUCAUAUGAAAUGGUAUGGAGCGUCCAGUUGAAAUUUGGCUGUACAAUUUGAGCAACACUUUGAUUAAAUGCCUUUUUGUUUCAUGAUUCACUCUAAAAUAUUUUGCUGACUCCUGGCAAGGUUAAGGCCUCUGGGACCAGCACAAUUGUGCAGCCUCUUGCUUCUUCUUCUUCUUCUUUCUUUAUUAUUUUAUUCUGGCCUUCUUUGUUUACCCUUUUUUCCGUGAAUCAUGUCAUUUCAUUUAUACAUUAUUUUUAUCACUAAAAUUUUUUUUUUCUUGGGUCAACGAUGAAAAAAUUUUAAACAAACAAAAUCCUGUUACAAAUUAGCCAAACCAUGAUAAUGUAACUUAUAGAUGUGUUCUUAUUUUUCUGUUAGAUGUAGUACUUUCAUAUCGUGGAACUUGAAUGUCCAGUAACUAUUCUUUUUGGUGGAUUUGCUGGUCAACUGAAUCAAAUUACCUCGAGGUUGAAAAUUUUUUCUUGGCUUGACCCGCAUGGUUGCAACUGUAGUAGCUUUCUAGCUUCAAAUAUACAGUGGCUGUUGUCUGUAAUUCUGCUGUCCACUUCUAGAGCAGGGCAAUAAUUUUAGUGGGGGUUGUCUCUUUUAAAUGCUCGUAUCAUUUAAACAAGCAUGGUGGAAAUUUUUUGUGAGCUUGAUGAUUUCUACCAGUUAGCCAUGGUUAGGUAGACCACUGAAUGCAGAGAUAAAAGAGUAUGAGAUUAUUGACUUCACUUUUGUUGUAACGUGCUAAUGAAAGAGAAUGAGAUCUUUUUGUUUUGGCUUUUUUUUUUUUUUUUUUAUGAUGCUGAGUCUAUCAUCUCUCCUACUUUCAGGCACUCCUUGUUAUUUGAUUAUGGUCCAGAAGAUGAUGCUGACGCCAACCUUAUUCCGGAACUAGUAGAGAAACUGGCAAUUCCAAUUUUGCAUCACCAGUUAGUAUACUGCUGGGACAUGCUUAGUACACGUGAAACAGAGUACGCUGUUUCUGCUACAAACUUGGUCUUAGGAUAUGUUCCUCCAUCCAGUUUGGCACUUGGGAACUUAGUAGCUGCACUUCGAGACCGCCUGGCUGAUGCUGUGACCAAUUUGAUGGUAUUUCUUAUCUCCUUUUUGGAUUAUCAUUUGCAGAGUAUAUCAACUAGUACUUGUCUUUCCUUAAAUAUUAUAUUCUUACUAAAAGGAUAUAAGUUUAUAGGUGCCAACGUGGAACACACUUGUAUUAAAAGCUGUACCAAACGCGGCAAGAGCUGCAGCGUACAGAUUUGGUGUGUCUGUUCGUUUGAUGAAGAACAUAUGUCGAUGGCAUAAGGUUCUUGCAAGGCCAGUAUUGGAAAAGCUUGCUCUGGAUGAACUGUUAAUUGGCAAGAUUCUUCCUCAUCUUCGAAGCAUUGAAUCAAACAUUCACGAUGCAGUUACAAGAACAGAGAGAGUUGUUGCCUCCUUAGAUGGGGUCUGGGCUGGUCCAAGUGUUACUGGGGAUCGCAGGUACUUGUUUCUUCAAGUGAAAAGUGUCAUUCUCUUGGUUUAAAAUGGAAGUAUGUCUAAGAUGCUACUGAAGAAUUGUGAAAGAAGCUUUUAAGUUAAAUUUUCAAGUUUUACCAAAUCUUAGGAUCACAGAAAAAUAAUUCUUAAAGUUGAGUUUGCUUUUGAGAUAGCAUCUUUGCUUGAUCUCACUUGCUAUUUGGUCAGGCACGAUUGCAAAAAUAUGAUUUACAUAUUUAUCCUUGCCACUACAAACAAUACAGACCUACAUGCUCCUCCUGUAUCAAGCCUGAAAUUAAGGUGGAUUUAGAAAAUACAAUAGAUAAAGGGAAAAGUGGGGAAACAUAGUUGCCAGUUUGCUUGGGUUUUGUAGUGGCUUAGUAUGUGGGCAAUUGCCUCUCUCUAUAUACAGCAUUCACUAAGUGUAUAAAUUGUAGCAAAACUUUCUGUUUGUGCUGAAGUGACAUAUUUCAGAGGGACAGAUGGUCUUACGUGGCAUGGGUAUUUAGUGUGUGGAGGAGGUAGAGAGGAAAAGUAGGGAAGUUUGGUAAGAGAUGAAAGCCUUGUGAAAUGCUAAGCCAGGAAAAGCCCUGUGUUCAAGCAUAUAAAAGAAAGUUAACUUUAUGGGCUAAUAUCUGUAUCUGGAUGGUUUCAUCUCAUGAGGACCCUUCUGAGUCAAUCCUUUUAAUGAAAAUGAUUAGAGUUGGACAUGAUUCCAACUUGACAUUCAAAACUCUCUGAAUGCUCACCCUAAAUUGUCCAGUGCAACCUUGAGGUUCAAGGUCAUUCAUUCAUUAAAAUGUUUUUUUUUUUUUUGGGAUACUAUGUUGCCAGUUAUUUAGUUCUCUAUUUAUUGCAUGUGGUACGCGCAUCUUUUUCUCCAUGGCUUUCAAUAGCAUGUGGCUUUCAAUGGCAUGUUGCAUGUAAAUUAGUGAUGAAUUUUUGAAGGCCUUGCGUUGUCACCUGACUAAUUUCCUUUGCCCCAUGAUACAAGUCAGCAAUGGACUGUUACCCUACUUCUCAUAUGAGUAAACUCACUGUAUCCUCACUAUGCUUGUAGCCCAAAACUGCUGCCACUGGUGGAAUUUUUGCUAUCACUUGGAAGGACGCUGGAGAAGAGGCAUGUUUCUGGUGGGAUUCAGACAGAAACUGCUAAACUUGCUCGCCGAUUGAAGAAGAUGCUUGUGGAGCUAAAUGAGUACGACCAAGCUAGGGCAAUAUUAAGAACCUUUAGUCUCAAGGAGGCGUUGUGACUCCCUUAUCUCCGAUGUCUAAUUGUCCCUCUUGCUCCUCCUCUGUCUAAUGGUUCCCCCUUGCUUGUACAUUUAAUGGUUUCAAGGACUUGGGGAGCUAACAUCAGCUCUUGCUUAGGAAAGUUCAUAAAGCACAAUUUUGAAAAGAAUGAGAUUCCUUGAUACACCGAGUUAGCAUAGUCUUUGAAUUAGAUGCCCUUGGCCCCCCCUCUGGUGGCCCAGGUAAUGCAUUUUGUGUUACGUUAGCUUAUGUUUUGCUUCGAGCUGAGGCUCUGGUGCCCCCUCUCUUCUCCAUCAGUAUGAAAACCCUAUGAAUUAUUGGUUUCGUGUUAUAGUCACGGAGAAACCAAAAGAUGAGCUCUUAUCAAGAACCCCAAUUCCGGCCCCUUUCGAUUCGUCGUCUUUCUAUCAAGAUCCAUAUGAAGUAUCGAUUUCACGUUUUGUCUGGACAUGGAAGGCCUUUUCUUUUCUCGUGUAUUCUAAUGAGAAUGCAGCCCUUGUAACUUUGUUUUUAAGGUUCGGCAACUGGAACUUUUUGGUGGCUCUUGCGGAUUGUUUGGUUAAUUAGCAGAUUUAUGUUUGUUUUUUUUUUGGGUUUUUGGGGGUUGGGGGUCAUAAUAAACUUCCGUUUUGAGCUGUCUUUUAGAAAAGAUUAGGCCUGACGGUCCCAGCUCUAACUUCUAGUUGAAUGUCAAACUUUGUGUUUCCAUUUAGUAUUGGGAUCCCAGAAAGGCUUUGAUUUCAGAGGAGGCCAAACAUGCUGCCGAAAGCCCCACUUUGAAUAUCAUGUGGAAGUUGGAAUUCAACUACUACUACAACUAAAAUGGAUCACCUUUUGGGACAAAUGAGAUUAGUUUAGCUUUCACAUUAGGAUACUUCUGCAGUCGUAGAAAAUUCAUGUUCAAUUAUCUUUGGUCCACCAAACCUGUAGCAAAUCGCUUGCUAAUCUAUUAAUAAAAGAACCAGUCAACUGCUUUGUAUAUGAGUAGGUUUAACCACGACUGCAGGAACCAAUACCUAAAUGACCUACUAUGUUGGUUGAGAUGCAAAUACGAAGUAUAGACUCAUGCAUGCAGGACAUGGAGCUUCUUUUUUCGGAGAACCUACUUUAAUUUGGGUAUUAAUGCAGUAUAUUCGAGUGAAACUGAAUUCAAUUGAUUAGUCAUUGCAUUUACCAUAAUGUUUUGGAAUAUGGGUCGCAAAAUCAUUUGAGAUUUGUGCUAACCAUUUCAGGAAAAAGAAAAACAAAAUGAUACCCUGGUUAACUUGAAGCUGAAAAGUUGAGAUGCCAUCUAAGUUUGGGGAAUUGGGAGUUGAAGUUCAAAAACUCUAUCGACUUUUUUAUGCAAACAAAUUAUUAUUAGUAGUAUAACUUCGUGGUUUCUUAUUUAGUGCAUCCAAAACAGAAGUAAAAAUUUUGCUGGAAAACGAACCUAUAGGCUGUAACUGAAGUCGUUUGGUAAAUUUUUCAUAUUAUGCACAAAAGUAGAGGCAAUUCUUGAGUCCUACGUAAUUUUACGAGGGAACUGCUGAGUGUUGACUACAACAGGUGCUGUCUUAUUUUGUGGGCUUUCGAAUUUCGAUGCGGGUUAUACUCUGUAAUAUUUGGAGUUAAAUGCGGACCAGAGCUGGCGAAAAUUAAAACUCACGCCUACCAAUGCAUUACGAAUUUUGGCCAUGACAAUUUAUGGACGCUCAGCGUUUAAGUCAAACGCGAAUGUGUGUAACUGAUGAAAGAAAUUUGUGUCAAAUUUUUUGAAAAUAUCGAAAAUUAUUUUCAAGAGAAAUUAUAAUAGUAAACAUACAGAAAAUUCACUAAAAUAAAAUGUAAAAAUAAAUAAUUAUUUGGUAGUAAUUCAUAAUCACAAUUGAUAAUUGCUAAUAAAAGUUAAGGUAUAUUAAAUAAGUUGAAAAAUAAAAUAAUAAGAAAUACAUAUUAAUUGGAGGAAAGAUAUAUUGAAACUUGGGAGUGGAUAGUUUUCAAGGGUAAUUUAGAAAGAACAUAAAAUGACACAAAGAAGUUUAUACUAACCCCCUCCUUUCUCUUUGUACAUAAAAUAGAUGAUGGGAAGGUUUGUAAAAGUAAUAUAUAAAAAGAAAGUGAAUAUUGUGCCUCACUCAUCAAAUUGACUGCCUCUUUUCCUCGAAGAACAUAGGGGAAACACAUGGAAUUUACACCUACAAAUAAAGAUAUGAUGAAAUUACCAAAAAAAAAAAGUGAGUUUGAAGUAAAUAAAGUUGUAAACUACAGGAAGUGACAUGUUAAACUCUUUCGAGUGGUAACACAAUAAUAUGUUGAUAGUAGAAUGGUCCCUCCAAAAAGGGAAAAAGGUCGAAUGGUUGGUUGAUAUAUUUCCCACUAGGUGGGUGCUAAAUAAUUGUUAACAUGUACUAAAGGUAGCUGAUUAGAAGGGGAAGGGCAUCAAAGGGCGUUCCCUAGUUAGACCAUGUAAACUUGGAUUGAGAUUGAGAACCGAAAUGUUUCGUUGUUUCGAGUUACAUGUAAUUGAUAUAGCACUGAGGGAAGUAGCGCAACAGAUCUUCUGUUUCACUCUAUGUUCUCAAGAUUCAAUCACUAUUAAUCGAGUAAAAAAGAAUUAAAAAUAUGAUGUUUAUGAAGGAAAAAUAUCAAUAUAAUAAAAAGUGAGAUAGAAAGUGACAUAAGUGAGACAAAAGAUCUAUUGUAGUUAAAGGGUGUAAGUGAGAAGUAUUGAAUUCGAUCAUUUCUAUUUACGCCUAAAAAUUUUUUAAAAAAUUUAAAAAGUUUAAAAAAUUGACAUAGUAUUAGUUUUAGCUUUCGAAUUGCGACAAGUACAUAACUUCAAUUAACCAUUGUCCAAAACAACUAAGCUGGUGUUGUUCGGUAAAACAAAUCGAAGUGUAACUACUCACGUAGUUGCAUUAUUACACCAUUGCUAGUUACAAAAUAUAAAUAGUGUUUUGAUAAGAAAUUAGUUGAAAUAAUUAUUGUAAUAUUUUUUAUGAUAUGAUGUAUGUGAGAUAAAAAGAUAAUUAAAAAAAUAAAAAAAAACAUGUUAAAAAUUGUGUUUCUGAUGCAAAUAAACAACUUUUUGCGAGAUCUAAUCUACUUGCAUGGACAAGCAAAUAAAAUGUAAUUGUACAAACAAUUUCUCGUGUUAUGAUAAAAACAUAAUAAUAAUUGAAGACAUUUGUUGGAUUCUCCUAUCUUCACCGGUAUGCAAAUGUGGGCCACAACACUAGAAUCUAGAAUUCCAUCCAAAUCCAACAAAAAUGUUGGCCUAACUCUUUCCACAAGUCUCCACUCUCCAUGUCAAGGACAGUCUACCCUCUCACGAGAAUAUUUAUUCAGAUAAAGGACAUGCCAAUUACAACUUAAAUAGAAGGCCUGUCAAAACUAAAUGAAUGUUAGCCCUCACCAACAAAAUCAAUUUGACUUUUAUCCCCAAAACUGAGAAAACAUAGCCCAACACGAGAAUUUUUUAAGCACAUACAUGUGGGAUUUUUUGAAGCACUUGCUAUUACGCUUAAAUUAUUAUAUGAAUGCUCCUUUUCUCUCAAAUUGCAAAACAACGUUUCUAUAAUUUGUUCAAGUUCAAAAAUCAUAACCUGUGAAAUGGGAUUGCUAUUUUUAGGAGUUUUUUUAAUAAAAAAAUGUAAUGUAAAAAUUUGAUGUAUAUGAGGUAAAAAAAAUAAUAAAAAAUAUAUUCACAGAAAACAUAAUUUUUUUUUUACUAAAAAUCACAAUCCAAACAAGGCCAACAGAAUGGUUAAAUUCUGUUUAUUUCUACUACAUAGUUGAUCCAUGAUUGUAUUAGUAUCUACCUAUUAUAUAAGAAAAAAGCCAAGUUACUAUAGCACCCCAUCUUUUUGACACAUGUAUUGCAUAUAUUUUUGACAAGUGGAUUCUUGGUCAUUUUAGCUAAACUUUUCCUUCCCCUUUUUGAUUCAAUUGGGCCAAAAUAAUUAAAAUGUUUUUUCUCUGAGCCAAGUUACUAUAGCACCCCAUCUUUUUUACACAUGUAUUGCACAUAUUUUUGACAAGUGGAUUCUUGGUCAUUUUAGCUAAAUUUUUCCUUCCCUUUUUUGAUUCAAUUGGGCCAAAAUAAUUAAAAUAUUUUUUCUCCUUCAGAAAAUCAACUAUGUCGCUUCUUCUUCUUCUUGCGGUAAGUGCUAUUAUUUUUUAUUUUUUAAAACUAAUCUAACUAAAAUUGUUGCCAUGUUCUUUUUUUUUCGUCGAGAUGAUUAGCUACUUAACAAAGAGAAGUUUUUAUUAUUUUUUUAUCCCAUUUUACAUUUUCUUUUCUUCCUUUUUUUUCUUCAUGUCUAAUCUCUCAUAUUUGCUCUAUUCUUCGAUCAUAAUGUUAUAGUCAACUGGCAUUUGUUUGUUAAAUUUAUAGGAUGAUGCUAUUAUUUGGUAAUUUUCAUGGAUAAAAGGUGAAAUAUUAAAAUAUGUAAAAAGAUCUUAAAAUUCAUUUUAUACCAAUGAUCAUUUUCUAUGAAGAAUAGAACAAUAAUUCUUUCUUUUCUUAUCUCCUCCCACGAUUUGAUUUCUUACUUCACAUUUUUUUUUCUUUUUCUUUGUUUUUUGGUUACAUUUUGUAAUUAUCUACAAUUUUGUGUAUUUUUUAAAGAGAAAAGAUAUAUCAUGUGAUGCUUCCACCAAGAUAAAUCUAGUUAGGCAUUCUUCUACUUCUGUAUUCUAUAAGAUUUUGUAUAUAUUUAAACUAACGUUAAUUUUUAUUUUUUUUAAUUAUUCAGGUUAUGUAGUAUCAAUUGGGUUGGCAUAUAAAAAUUGUAGUUGGUGGUAGAAGUCAAAAUUAAAAAUUAUUAGAAAAUUCAAUUUUGAUUAGGAAGAUGUUUUUGCAAUAAAAAAAAUGGUUCAAUUCUAAUUUGUAUAUGUAGAUCUGGAAACGUAGCAAUUCAUAUUUUUUAUCUAACCUUGCUAUUUAUAUUCUGGAGCUGCAGGAUAAUGUUGUCACCUUUAAACGGGAUUUAAAUAAAUAAAGAAAGAAAAAUGUGAAACUUUAAAGUAAGUUAUAUUGAUGUUGAAGAUUGUGACAUGUCUUAGUGGCUUUCUAAACUUUUUCUCAUUAUUAAAAAACUGGAAGCAUUAUGAUUGCUUUUGAUUUAGUUACAACUAAGACUAUGCUGCUAAUUAAUACAGCAAUGCACUUGUAGUGUAUUGAUUUUCUCUUUUUUUUGGGUAUUAUCAUAAUAAUAGUUCAAAAAUCUUUAUUCAAAUCACAAUAAAUAGGGGUAUUAACUUCAUAGAUGGAAUUUCUCUUCACAACAAAUUUUGAGGGAAAUUUUAUUUAUACUCCAUAUUUUAUUAAUUGUAUUCCUACAAUAAAUAAAAACUAUAUGAUAAAAAUAAUAGUGAAAAUAUGAUUAACAAAAAUGAGAGUUCAAAUAACAUUUGUUAAUUUUAAUUGUUUUGAGGUCCAAUUUUCUCCUAUAUUUCUAUUGAUUUAUCAUGUGCCAAAAUAAUUUGAUGUUAUGUGCUUGAUUAUAUUUCUAGGGGCCAAGCUAUGCUUUGCAAGUACCUCUAGUGUACUAACUAAAAAGGUGGCCAAUUACACGACAGCUGCAGUGGGUUUGCUUCUCACAUUAUCACACGACAGCUGCAGGCUGCAGAAUGUGCAUACUCUUGCAUGGAUUAUAUGUGACAGCCCCACCUCACCCUAAGGCGAAACAAAGGGUUCAGCGGACCGCCUGCCCAGCUCUCGCCAGGAUUACGGAGUCGAAUCACACAAAUCCGAUAUUACGCGAGAGGACCCAAAAUAAAUGAGCGAUUGAAGACCGCCAAGCUUAAACAUGGGGAAAACGCUUUCAUAUAUACAUGUCACUAGGUUUACAAUUCAAAUGGAACCAGUGAAACGAAAUACAUUUAGGGUUUGCUCAUUCUCGAGGAGCUAUACAAAAGAACAAAAGAUUUUCUAACUAGCUCAACUCGCUUCUCAAAAUCAUGAUUUCCAAAAGAGGUUCCAGUAAGGAAAACAAAGAUAACGAGGAGGGGGUGAGCUUACGCCCAAUGAGGUACCAAACAUAUAGCAGAAAAAUCAGGUAUUUCACGUUAUACAAACCAGAUACACAUGCUCGCUAUAAAGUAAGACAGGUAAACACAAGAACUCAAAUAGGAAGGAUACAGGUGGCUCUCAGGAGCCAGCUUUCCAGCGUAGUACUUGAUCCAAGCCGGUCGACUCUCCAUCAACGUAUAUAGAACCAACACGUCCGUAGACCCCACUUUACACCAAAUUCCGUCCACCAAACACCCCUUUACCGGGCCCGCUCACCUCAACAGAAACAGAAAGGGUAAUACUCGAGUAUACCGGAAUCAAGAGUCUCAAUACCCAAAGAUCCCAAAACAGACUACCGUGGUUCGUUAUCUAAUCGUCCAGGCCCUUGCCGGCCCGACUCGAAUAACUUAGCCACAGGAUUUGAGCUCAUAAGUCACAGAAAGGUCGUUGGUUACAAGUUUCCAAACGACGUCCGAACAGAUACAGAUACAGAUACAGAUACAGAUAUCAGAUACACAGAUUCAGAUUGACACCAAAAUUGGCAUAUGAACAGACAAGAGAACGAGUGUGAUAAAGUACACCCUCGUCUCAAACAAAUUAAACAGAUUGCAGAGCAGAAAUCAAGUUAAACAGCAAUGGAGGGGAGUGGUACACUCACCGGUUCAAGUACAAAUACCUCAAAAGUUUUCACUUCGGAUUGGCUUUAAUCGCCAAGAAACCCUAAAAUAAUCAAAAUAAACCAAUUGAAGGUUUCACAUCCAGAAUCGAGUAAACAAAAUACACAUGUGAGGCUCGACUACUAGUCGUAUGCCUCGCCAAAUAAUUACUAAUGCAAGGGUACAAAACAUGAUUUUUGGGAAUAAAAAGGUAACAUGAAGACCUAGGUUCAACAACCCAAAAGUCCUUCAUUUCUAUCACAAGCCAAUUCAAACUUAAAGGAACCAAUUGGCCUAGAAAAAAUUGGACAGCACUUCCCCUAAAUUUCUUACUUUUCCAGCCAUCACGGCUUCAUUAUUUUCCUCAAUCAACUCCCAAAGUCAUACUCAAUAUACACUCAUCACCACAGCCGUUCAAUAGGCUCAAGGUUAUCCAAGUACAAAAGUUAGUUAGGAAAAUGACCGGAAAUAAAAGUCAAGCCCUAGAAUAUUCCACUAAGCACAAGAAGACUCGAUUACAAGUCAUAAACCGAUGCCAACACGAUCACAAUAGGGUUCCAUAAGCAUAUAUAAGCAUUAGAGGAAACCAGAAAUUUCGGAAAUGUAACUAGCUUUGGCCCUGAAAAAUAGUUUUUGUCCUCAUUUUGCGGUAAUGGCACAAAUUUCACUACGCUUAUCGGAUGAGGGUGCAAGACCACCACCAUCUCGAAGCUAAAAGACAGGGCUACAACAUCACAGAAGGUCACUCAACCCAGUUUUGAGUGCAAACAGGUCAAAAAUGCAAGAUACUACAUCAACAACGUAAAACAGAUUCACCAAAACGCAUUCUAGUGGAAACAUCAUAACUCAGGCUCUACAAGUCCAAAUCCAGAAAUUCCAAAACCAUCUGAAAGCUAAGCAACAGGGAUAAAUUUCAUCAGAAGGUCUCAACAACCAAUUCGGAAGCAAUUCCAGGAAAAACAACCAAUUACAGGCGCAGUUCUCAAUUUCGGGUAAAACCAGAACAGCAAUAGUAAUUUCGACUUAUCUCAUUCUACUCUACUCCGAUUGACCUGAAAUUUUGUAGGAACCUCUAAAAUGUCAUUCCCUACAACUUUCAUGUUUUGAGCUAAGGCCAAUUCGGCCUCUAUCUAGGACCUAAAAAUUCGGACAGAAUGCUCCCACAAGAACCCUAAUUUUCUGAAAUUUCUUCCAAAACAGAAAUUGAUUGCAAUUGUCCACUUUUUUCACCUUCUAGAAUCAUUAUAUACCAUUUCCAAUCAUCAUAGAUAGCCACACAAUCAUGCUUAUAUUAAAACAGAAAAAUCCCCAAAAAUAAUAAAACUUCAUCAUUUCAACCACAAAUCAAAAAUUAAUCCAUAAACUUGCAUCUUAUACUACCACUAAGCAUGAUUUAAGCAUCAAUUAAAGGAGGAGGGUGGUUCUUCACAACUUACCUUAGAAACAAGAGAGAGAGAGCUAUUGGUCACCUUAACUUUCCAAAAAACUUCACACAACAACUCACCAACACUUCCUUAAGUGGUUUUAUGGAGCAAAAUCAAGGUUGGAUGGUUGGUUUUGGUGAUUUGGAACAAGAUUGAAGUGUUUUCUUCCUUGUGCUUGGAGUAAGAGAGAGAGAGAAAGAGAGCAAGAGAGGGCCGACUUCAAGGAGGAUUUUUUUGAGGAUUUUUGGGUCAAUUUUGGUUAUUUAAGUCAAUGGUAAGAAAGGUUUUAAGGUAAGCCCAAUCAAAUGGUGACACUUGUCACCUUUUAUUAACUCUCUACCUAACUUGUCUCUCUCAUAUCAAUCCAAAUUGCACCCUCCACUUAUCUCUUAACACCCGGUAAAUUCAUUCAAGUAUUCAAAACUUAAUCUAGUUGGCCGAAUUUUUCCGAACUUUUCGCACUAGUGGGUCCCACGUCCGAUAUACGCUUUUAAUUCCUCAAAAGCUAACCGAUACUAGAAAAAUCAUUUAAAAGCUAUAUUUACUCAUAAAAUUUAUUUGCACAAUGUUUCGAAUAAAGAAAAGGUGGAAAAACGUAUAAUUAAAAGAAAUUAAAACCUAGAAAUUAAGAAAAUUACGGGUCCUUACACUAUAUGCUUUGCAUGGACGGAAUAUAUAUAUAGUCUUAUUCUAUGACGGAAAAUCUAUGAAUUUCUGACCUGUACGAUAAGCAAAUGUGCGACACAGCACUAGAAUUUCAGCCAACAAAUGUCAUUCAGAUGAAGGACAUUCCACCAUACGAGUUUCAACCGCAUGUUUAUACCAUCAAAAUUCGAUCCACAACUUUACUGAUGCAGUGCAUGAUCGAGUGUACGAGUAUCCUUAUCUUAUGUAGCUGUAUGGCCUGCUUCACCAUGGUUUCAAUACAAAUUUCUAGUAAAUUACACGCCAAUACGAUCAUAAUUGGAUGGUAGUGUAAUAUCUACUAUAUGGUUAUCAUUUGAUGAUAGUCGGUUCAGAUUUCUAUCAUAUUCUUUUGGACUAUUAAUCUAUGAUUAAAUUUUAUAUACAUUAAACUGACAAUAUUUACACUAUCAUAAUUAGAUGUAUGAUACAUAUAUGCAAAAUUUGAAUUAUAUGUCAUGCAUCAUGUGGUGAAAUUGUAUACACUGUCAGUCUAUAGAAGAUUAAUCCUUAAUUUAUUACGAACAUUUUUCUUAAAAUUUUUGGUUGGUAAAAGUCAUUACUUACACAAAAUUUGACCAAGGGAUCUCGAGACUUCUUAGUUGCAGUUACAACCACAAAGUACAAGAGCUUGUUUAAAUUGUUAUUUUUUGAAAUUUUUAUAGAAAAAUAUAAUAUUAUAACAAUUUGAUGUAUGUAAAGUAAAAUGACAAGUAUUUAAAAAAUAUGUUUAUGAAAAGUGUAAAACUGAAAAAUGCUAAUUCAAACGAGGCUAUUGAGCUAAAAUGAUGAUAAAGACGGUAAGCUUGUCUACCAUCACAAUUUUAGCACAUAGAGGUUAGAAGAGUUGGUGCAUAUAGUCCUUGCAACCCUAAUUAGGUGGGUAAAUCAAGACCUAGGCUGCGGUUUUGGUUAGGUCAAAAUUAACACAACCAUUGACCUCCUGAAAUUAAUUGCUUUUUGAGGAUUUGAUGAACUAAUAUUAAGUUUGCAACGAAACCUGUUUCAGUCAUUCGUUGAUCCCAGCUGCCCCACCAGACCUCCACUUUCCCAUCCACACUUCCCCUACCAAUAGGAUUACACCUUUCCUUUCACGAGCUCAUUCUGCUGCUCUCAGCAUUCAUUCUUUCAUCCCGUGAAUCGCGACGCAUAAAGAAAUAUCAUGACCGUCAGUUUCGGUGACUGAAGAAAGGAAAGGAAAGAGAAGUUUAAUCCGAACGGUGGAUGGGCGGCGGCUACAAAGUUUUACCCGUGAAACCACCACCACGAGAUCUCCGCCCCCUCUCAUAAAGAAUCACAGGAGCAGAGACGCGGCUUUCCAGCCUGGACUCCUUUCAAUUUAUUCCAUCGCUGUCACCUAUCUCGAUCAAUCCAUGGUCCCACCUUGGCUUUCAAAAUUGCAUACAACCCGGUAUACGUCUAGGCCCUGUAAAUACCUAAGCUACCCUUUCACGAAUUUUUAAAAUUUUUUUCUUUUCUUUUAAUUAUUUAAACUUUUUUUUUUUAUGCUUCAAAAGGAUUGUGGGUUAGUAGGAAGUAAAUCAUCCAAAAACUCUCACCGUACUAAGAAAGCAAAAUAUUAUCCGAAAAUGUUCAAAAUUUAGGUGUUGUUUAAAGAUUGGUUCUUGAUAAUUGCAAUUAUCUUCCAUUCUUAUCCAUUAACCAAAAUGUUAAUGGAACUUUCGUACUACAAUGUCUUAACAAAAAUAUUUCUUAUCUAAAUUUGUAACUGACUACUUGGUCACGCUAGCUACAUCAAUAAAGAUUUUCACCAAAUUCUCACAAUCAAAUGCUCGUAUGAAUGCCAAAGGUCUUUAUUAUUUUGUUAGAUAGGACGAGCUACUCAUAUAUUGACCAUGUAAAUGUAUUGAUCAUGUAACUGAAUGUUAUUCCUUAUAUAACAUUUGUUAUGAGGCAAGGUUUUAGGCCCCUCUUCUAUUUAAUAAAUUAAUUAAUGGUUACCAUCCUUAUUUCAUGUAUGACAUUUUAUCAAAUAAAAAAAAACUUAUAUUUUAUUUCUCAACUUUUGUUCCUUUGGCUUCUAUAUCAGAUUAAAUAUUGGAUGUAACGCAAUUCUCUUGGAUACUUUUCGCCUAUUACUACUUCGGCUUCUACCUUUUGUUGAGCUUUUCACUAUUGGUUUCUAAUUAUCUUGUAUAAUACUUGUUCCACUUCUGCCAACAAAACUAAAAAAAGAAUGUCAACUAUUUGCAUAAAAAAUCAUAUCAAGUUUGUUUACUCUAUCCGCACUUUGUUUUGUACCGUAUUUGAAGCCAAAUGUGAUUGAAUUUUUAUUUUACUCCUGAUUUUUCUAUCAAAGAUAUGUUUAUAAUUCAUUUAACAAGCUCACAUGAGGUGGCAAAAUGACUUAAAAUGUUUAUUAAAUAAAUACAUAUACUAGCAUAAGAUUGAGGCAAAUGAUUUAUUCGAGAACCCUUUUAAAAAAAAAAAAAUUUUUUUUUCACAGCAAAUCUCUAGCAAAAUAACAAUUGUAUCCUUCAAUAUUCAAAAGUUGAAUGCACUUUGAAAAGAGUAAAAUUGUCAUUUCAAAGAAAUUAGCAAUGGCAUUAAAAACAUGGACUACGAUAUUAAAGCUAUCCUAAUUGACUGUCAUUAUAUGCUACAAUCAUUUUGUUGAUUGAUCUGCUAGUACAAGUAUUAGAGUAUCUAUAGUAGGAGAAUAAAUUCAUUCUCCACCUCAUUUACAAAUUCAAAAAAAAAAAAAAUCUAACCCGGGCUAAGAAGGUCAUUUCAUAUUGAUAUGUUUACUUUUCCAUUUAUUUUUUAUCCCCACACUUUCGUACUCGGACAGUUGGACUUCCAUACUCAUCCUCUUAUGACUUUAAUCUCUGAUCUCCCAUGACCACUCUCCCAAAACAGCCAAACUCCUCCAAUACCUCCUCUUCCCACCACCGCCAUCGCUCCCACAAUGCCACCUGACACCAGAACCACCGCACUCCUCCUCCUCACCAUCCUCCUCCUCCUCCUCAGCUCCCACACUCCCUCCACCGCAGACCUCCCGCAAUUUCGGGAAGCCCCAGCAUUCCGCAACGGCCAGCACUGCCCAAUCUCCACAUGGCCCUCCAACCCACACGACCCUUCCACCAUCCACGUCGCCAUGACACUUGACUACUCCACGCCAUACCUCCGUGGCUCCAUCGCCGCGGUCUUCUCAGUCCUCCAGCACUCCACCUGCCCAGAAAACACCUUCUUCCACUUCCUCACCACCACCCGCCACCGCCAUUUCCAAGGCCUCAACUCCACCAUCACCUCCACUUUCCCCUACCUCCGUUACCAUCUCUACCACUUCUCCCCCGCCUUAGUCAACCACCUCAUCUCCUCCUCCAUCCGCACCGCCCUCGACCAACCCUUGAAUUACGCCCGCAUUUACCUCGCCGACCUCCUUCCCUCCACCGUCAACCGCAUUAUAUACCUCGACUCUGACCUCAUCAUCAUCGAUGACAUCUCCAAGCUCUGGAAAAUCAAUCUCUCCGCGCAUAUUCUCGGCGCCCCCGAAUAUUGCCACGCAAAUUUCACCAACUAUUUCACUCCCAAAUUUUGGUCCAACAGAUAUGUCUCCAGCACUUUUAAUAACCGUGCCACAUGUUAUUUCAACACAGGGGUUAUGGUGAUGGAUUUAACGAAAUGGAGAACAAAUGGGUGCACGAGAAAACUGGAGCAUUGGAUGAGGAUUCAAAAGAAGUAUAGAAUUUAUGAGCUGGGCUCAUUGCCGCCGUUUUUGUUGGUUUUCGCCGGGAAUGUCGAGGGGGUUGAGCACAGAUGGAAUCAACAUGGACUCGGGGGGGAUAAUCUCGAAGGUUUGUGUAGAGAUUUGCAUCCGGGUCCCGUUAGUUUGCUGCAUUGGAGCGGAAAAGGGAAGCCGUGGUUGAGAUUGGACUCGAAGAAACCUUGUCCGUUGGAUAGCCUUUGGGCUCCGUACGAUUUGUUUAAACAUCGGCCAUUGAUCUCCGAUAGUUGAUGAUGCUGGUCGUAGGAGAUUGUUGCCCCGUGACCGUGAGUGAGUAAUUGGGAUGGAAACAGGUGAGGAGAGAAUGAAAAAGGAGAAAUGAGGACAGAACAGAUAGAUUUAUGGUGACGUGAGAGGAAGAAUACUUUUGGGGUUUUGGUGGAAUGUUGUGGCGGAGCUCUGGUGUGGUACUGUCGGUGGGUUUUUCUUGGCCGUCCGAUGUGAGAGAUCAGGACGGUAAGAUUUGGUGGUGGUGGUUUGGGAAUGAGGAUAUGAUGGGUGCAUUGUGAUGCUGGGUCCUAUUUUUUGGGAGUGGUUGGAUUCCAUGUUGCUAUCAGAGUUUGUUUUGUUUUCUUGGUGGCAGUGGAGGUGGAGGUGCUAAUUGAGUUUUUUUUUUUGUUUUUUUUUUUGUGUGUGUACAUGUUGUGCUACUUUUUAACCUACUACUACAACUACUACUUGUGGUUGGUUCUUUGAUUGUUUCUGAUGAUCAUAAUCAGAAUUGAGAGAAUUAUUCAUUAUUGAUUGAUGUUUGUGAUGGCGCAUUUCCCCUUUGCUUUCAUCCACUAGAGUGUCUGUUUGAUCUUAUCCUAGCAAGUAAAUAUGAUGAAAUUUGUUUUCUUGUGAAAGCAAUCAACGGAUAUGGGAAGGGACUACUGAUCAAUUGGCCAUUGGAUACCCCUUUGAAUAGCCUAAAAAUGAGCAAAUUCUAGUGGAGUUCAAUAGCAUCAGAAGACAUGUUAAAGGGACUGAAUCGAAACUCGAUAAAGCACUUAAUAAUGCUAUUGAUGAUCAUGAAAGUCUGGCAGCGCUCAGGUCAGGCAAGCUUUUAAUACGAUAUAUAUUUGUCGGCUACUGGCCGUGCAUAUUUCCAUGGUUUAUGAAGACCCAUCCAUUUUCGUGCCUGAUGCCUGCUGACUAGCAUCCGGAUUCCAGGGAAAAGGUGGAUUAACGAUUAAGAAGAGCUCGUCCGGAGUCAUGUUGAGUAACUUUCAACUUCAACUUUUUGAUUUUUUUUUUUAAAAAAAAAAAAACUCACAGGUUACAAUAGAGGAGGGGAAUCCCAUUUUACUCUUAUAAUGCGGACUAGAGCGAAAAAACUUCCAUCACAUAGUGGAAAAAAUUUCACUAUUGUAACGGAAGUAUUGGGCUCGCUCAAAGCAGCUUUUAUUGGGUCAUUCACCCCGAUCUUGAAAUAAUAGUUGUGCAAUUAGGUCCCCUUGCCCAACAUAAAACGCUGUUCAAGUUUGAUUUGAAUAGUUGGCAAAUCAAGUUCAAAUCAGUUGUUACCAAAUCGAGCUCGAUUCGAACGUCGAAUAGCUUAGUUCAUCUUUCGAUCCUAAUCAUGAAUAUCUUUUAUUAGUUUAAGAGCUCCGGAAAAAGGAAUAGGGGAGGACUUGAGAGUCAAAUUAGGCUUCUUUUUAUGUUGCUGGACCUUGGAACAUUUAAUCAUAGAUAUCAUUGAGUGUGAGUAUGUGAUGGACGCGGGAAAGAGAAGCAAUAGACAUAAAAUUAGGCAAAGCCUUGUGAUGUUCCUCGGUCACAACUUUGGAUAUGGACUGGACUUCAUGAGAAAAUGUGUCGGAUAAAAAAAUAACAUUCUUUUUUUUUUUUUUUUGGUCAAAAAGCAACCUAACAUUAUUCCCCAUUCUCCUAUGCUUCCUUUUGCAUUGUGUGGACUCUUGGGCCAAAAACUUAUCAAGCCAUUCUGUUUUCAGAUUGUUUCAGAGUCCAGGAGUGGAGCAGAAACCCAUACUGGGGAUAUUAACUGCGGCCAUCUGGCCCACUGAAUUGACCUACGUAUCAAUUGUGGCCUGUAUUGUUCACCACAUCCAUUGAUCGACCUACGUGUCAAUUGUGGCCUGUAUUUUUUGUAUUUCCCUCCACAAAAAAUACCUGAAAUAACUGUCCCUUUUGAGAAAAUAAAUACAAAAAACAAAAUAAAAAAAAAAAUCUAAGAAACGGACGACGCCAUGAAAGAAAGCAACAGAGCGCAGUCCUAGGCUAGCCUAAAAUUGCUGAAACAAAUCUUCAAACAUAACUCUGAUGAUUUCUUUUGUUUCCCAAGCAUAAUUUUAGGUACUAAAAUUCCUCAUAGAUCCUCGAAACAAUCAUGGCUACGGUUGCCACCAGUGGGGUUGGAUUAAGUGGAGCAAGACUCCAUGCUUUCAACUCCAGCAAACCAUUUUCUCCAUUUCUUGGGAAGAAGCUCAAGAUUAAACCAAUUUCUGAGUCAAUUCAUCCAACAAAGUUUAACCAUGCAAAAUCCAGGAAUCUUCUUGUUUUAGCAUCUGGGUGGAUUUAAUGAGCUUUGUCAACGAUCUUUUUGUUGGGGUUGGAGUUGGACUUCCAUGUACGGUCAUGGCGUGUGGUGAUAUAAUUUAUAGAAGUACACUUCCAAGCUCAAAUGGUCUCACAGUUACAGUUCCUGGGACGAUUUUAGCACUGGGUGCUUUGUCUUAUUUGUGGGCUACUCCUGGUGUUGCCCCUGGUUUUUUUGAUAUGUUUGUGCUUGCAUUUGUUGAAAGACUGAUUAGACCUACCUAUCGGAAGGUUAGUUGAUUGUCUGGUGAAUUUUUGAUUUUGUAAAGUUUUGAGGAUAAAAUCUUGGAAUUUGGAUAAUUUGAUUUUGUUUUGUGGUGGCAGGAAGAUUUUGUGCUUGGGAGAAAUUAGGUGAAGGGUCUUUUGGUGUGGUUUAUAGAGCUUCAUGGGCUAAAAAGCCCUCCCCAAAGGUAAAUAUUUGACAGGAACUUGCUAGUAUCAAAGUUUUGUUUAUUGUUUAUGUUAUUUCAGCCCUUUCGGAUUUUUUCCCCUUUAUGUGCUUUGCAUGUAUUAUAGGGAAUAUUGUUGAGGUUAUGCUGGUCCCUACUUGAACUUUGAUGGAAUAUUUUCUUCCAUUCUUUUGCUCAAAUGCUCAGACUUUAUAUAGAACCUAAUCACAUGUACAUGUAUCAAGUUUUUUCCAAACUUUUUGUCAAUCUGGAAUGAAUGUGUUAUUAGGCCACAGUUUGCAUUAAUAUUAGUGAUAAAGAUAUCUAGAAGGCAUGUUUGCUAAUUUCUAUUGGUAGCGAUCCUAAAAUAACAAUAGUUGCUAUUGGUUGUCACUCAAAGGGUGGAGAGUUAGUCUUGAAAAAGGCUACUGAAUAUGGAGCAGUGGAGAUAUGGAUGAAUGAACGUUGCGAAGGGCUUGUGCUAGUAGCUGUGCUGAUUUUGUGUAUGGCUUUCUCGAGGUGCUGCUCUCUUUGCCUAAUGUUGCUAAGUAUGAUUAUAGCAGAGAUAAUAAGACAGCUUCAAGCACAUAUCUAUAACUUUUGCAAAUUGGAUUCAUAGUUCUUCAAAGAAACAAGCUGAAUAUUGGCUUAUAUGGCGUUUUGACGGGGAAGCCACACUUGCUGAUUUAAUGCAAAGUAGGGAGUUUCCUUACAAUGUUGGUACCACUUCUGUCUCACCUUAAUUCUAAAUCUGUGAUGCAGAACAAAUCUCCUUGAUGGAAUUUUCAAGUAGAUAUAUUAUGAUGUGGAAAUCAUCUGUUCCAUAUGUUAUCCAUUUUGAACAUCACUAUGACUUAUUAUGUGUAUUUGCUUAGGUGCAUAUUAGACGUGCACAAUUCCAUGAAGGCUCACGGUAGCAUAUUUAAGGACAUAGCUGCUGGCCUAAAAAAGUGCCAACUCUUUCGUUUUGUAACUUAUAUAUUCAAUUCAUGACAUGAAUUAUAUGUAUUGUUACAUAAUGACGUAGGCCAACCAUUGGACCAUAGCUGUGCUUAUUGUUCCAUAGUGUAAAGCCCUAAGAUAAUAGGAUUUCCCUCCAAACAUAGCUGUGCUUAUUGUUCCAAAGUGGUAGAGUAACUGAUUCUUAAUAGAAACAAUAAUGUUGUAUUGUGAGGACAGAAGAGAAUAAAACUGUACUCUCUUCAGGAAAAAUUUCAUAGAGCUUGCCUGCCAAAAGGAAAAAGAUUAUAGUUGUCCAUAUUAUGAUGAACUGGUAGGCAAACAAAGAUAUCAUUGGUAGCUCUCCAGGUACAGAGUAACAACGGUGGCCACAAGAACUUCUCAAAGUGACAAUUGUGUUGUCAGGACCAGAAGGGUGUCAAAAUACUAGCUGAGAUUGGUUUCUAUUAAUAGUCUUUAGCCUCUAUCCCAAGCUUUCAGUGUUGAAGGUGAAUUUGGCUACCUUUAUGAGUGAAACAGUAGAAAUAGAUUUCUAGAACUGCAAGAAAGAAGAAGAUUUACAAAGAAAAUCAGGAAUUACUGAAACAAGGAGCACAGAAAAGAAAACUUGGAAAUUGAAUGAGAAGUCAAAUAUUUGUUCAACUGAAAAGAAAUGUUUGCUAGUAGGAAAAUUCUUGUCCAAGAAUUAAGAAUCCGUUGUCCAGAUUUCCCCUUCUGGCACUCAAAGGGUAGAGCCUGUAGAUUGACUGCUGAAACUAUGAAUCCUGACUAGACACACAAGAUUAAGAUGGUGACCUCUCCAGCUUUGCUUCAGUUAGAUGCUCUAGAUUAGAAACUGAUUCCUUUUUCACAUGGCAAAGUGCUUCAUGGGUGGAUUUCUGAGGUUGAAAACUUUUCCAGUAUAUCCAGGUCUUUGAGUCACUUUUGUUGUAAAAUAUGCCAAAUGAGUCCCCCCCUCCCCCUCUCCUGAAAAGAAGUCCUAGUUGUUUAUCUCCCUUUAACCUAUAUUAGCAAUAGGUUGAUCUAACUAUGGUUUUGUGUUCAUUAUCUUGUCUAAAGAAAAGGUCAAUGCUUUUGUACACUUUUUGCAAUGAGUUGCUGAGACGGUCUCUAUUGACAUAUAAGAUCAAAUUUACAUUUCUAGCCUCUUCUGCUAACCUUAAUGAAGUUUUCGCAAACUUAAAGGUGGAAGCACUGCUUCUGGGGAGGUUAACAACUUGCCUAAGGUCUAGAAAGGGAAAAUCAAAUUAUCCAGACUAUUUUGGGACGGAUCUUGUUUGCAUUAGAUGGUCUUCACUCAACCGGAAUUGUCCACAGAGAUAUUAAGCCACAGAACAUAAUUUUCUGAAGGUGACUGUUUUGUGCCAACCUUAUUAGCAGCUCGCUUAAACUCUCUCUCUAUUGUUUCUUUCAGUUUUUUUUCUUUUUCUUUUCAUUUUUCUUCAUUAAAUGUGAUGCAGGUUCUCGCACAUUCAAAAUCAUUGAUCUUGGAGCUGCUACAGAUUUAAGGGUGGGCAUCAAUUAUAUUCCUAAGGAGUUUCUGUUAGAUCCAAGGUAACUUUUCAGCUCAACAAAAAUAAUCACUGCCAGGAGCAUGUUGGUUUCUUCUCUAUACACUAAAGUACUCAAACUUGCAAAUAGCUGCUGAUGAAGUACUAAAGUUUCUAGGCAGCCUAAUCAAAUGUCAUUAUCAAACCAAUAAGAAAGUAUCAGUUAGUUACUCAUGAGAAAUCCUGUAAAAUCCUGGAUAUUGACCCAAAUCCUUACCUGGGGUCAUCUACUCAAAUGUUACCUUUUUCAUUAGGAAAAGAAAAUUAUGUUGAGCAAAGUAUCAAUCAACUUCAGUUAUCUCAGAUCAAAAUGUGUAAUAGUCCUCCCUACACCAAAAUUCAUCCCAGAAUUAGUGGCCAUCUUGGUUCUCUUAGUCAUGUCAAAAGCUAGGAAAAAUUCACGCAGGGAUGAGAGGGUUAGAAAAUGGAGCGCUACAAACCUCCACCCCUCCUUCCCCAAAAACGACCUUUUUAGUCAUAGAGGAAAUGUUUCUUCGUAGAAAAAGCCAACCAACCAUCAAGUAUACUUUGUUUUUGGGAAGGGAAGAAGAAGAGGGAAGGAGCGAAUUUUUGGGCAAUGGAACAACUUUAAAGUUGACUUCUUUUGUACUUUUGGAAGUCCAUCACAAUUAAGAAUAUUUUUGUUUUCGAUUUCCCAUAAAUUGCGCAAUAUUAAAUAACCGUUCUACGUGACUUUCAUAACCAUUUGGUAUCAGGCAGUAGAAGAGUGUAUUUCAUACUAUGAACUGAUUUAGUUUGACAACACCAUCGAGUUGAUUUUGUUCAAUACGAUCCACAAAUUUAAAUUAUCACCUCAAGAAGUCAAAUACAUAAUAUCUGAGUUGAAGUUGUAAUAAGUUAUUAUCCCAGUAACAGUUUCAUAUUUGGAAUAUACAUUGGGACUGAAAUCAUUAGGAUUUAUUUGAUCUCUUUACGGAUAUUCAUUGAGCAUUAUCCAAGCUAACAGGAGCUACUUUCUUGAUAGGCUCCAAGCAUCAAUCUAAUUCCAUCAAUUAUAGAUUCACAUGAUUCCAGACUUUGGUUUAUUUGCACAACAUUAUUAUUUCUCAUUUUCUCCAGGUAUGCUGCACGACUGAGCAGUAUAUUAUGAGCACUCAAACACCCUCUGCACCUUCAGUUCCAGUUGCAACGGCACUAUCUCCUGUUUUAUGGCAGGUAUUGUGUCUUCUAUGAAUACUUUCAUCUUCACGCCACCUUGAGGUUGAGCGAUACAUUUGACUUACCCCUAAACAACAAUGUCUGAGCAGCUAAAUUUGCCAGAUCGCUUUGACAUCUACAGCGCCGGGCUCGUAUUUUUACAAAUGGUAAGUUAGCGAUACUAGUUAAUUAUGACUGUUUCUCCUGGAUGAUGUCCUAGGAAUGAAAGCAGUUACGUAUAGGAGAACAAUAUACUCUUUUCACGAGUAUAAAAAAUGGUCAAUAAGUAGUUGGAAUAUCCUUUGCUGAGAUUGUCAUUCUGUACUUAUUUUCACAUUGUCAUUGACUAACAAACUUCACCAUGUUUAAAAUUCAAACGGAAAAAAGAAAAAUCUUUGGAAAGAAUUUUCUGUCUCUGUCUGCAUAUAACAAUGGCACAAAUAUAUGUAAAUCAUGUUUGAUAUUCCUUUUGAGGUUCUGCAUUUCAAAAUUUCCCUACAGAGAAGCUAACUCGAUCCCCAAGUGCGGCAUUGAAGUCUGAAACUAAUCAAGUAACACUAUGAUUGUGGUGAUUGAUAAUUACUGUUUUAUUGCAUUGGGUGUAGUGUUUGAUUGGCACUGCCUUAGUGACUUCCCCCUUAUUGAUGAUGAGCUCAUUGCCUGCAGGCAUUCCUGGACUACGAAACGACAAUAGUCUCAUACAAUUUAACCGUCAGCUAAAGCGAUGUGACUACGAUCUGGUUGCAUGGAGGAAUACAGUAGAACCACGUGCAAGCAAUGAGCUUAGAAGGGGCUUUGAGUUGUUAGAUCUGGAUGGUGGCAUUGGAUGGGAACUUUUAACAUCAAUGGUUCGGUAUGACGCCAAAGAGUCAGCGCAAAAGAAGCUUUAGCUCAUCCUUAUUUUGAUAGAGAAGGCCUAUUGGCCAUGUCCUUUAUGCAGAACCUAAGGAUGCAAUAUUAUCGAGCGACACAAAAAGACUAUAGUGAAGCUCUCAAGUGGGUUGUUCGGCUGAUGGCAAAGUCAGGAACAGAGCAGGACGGUGGCUUCACUGAAGCACAGCUUCAGGAGCUCAGGGUUUGUAUAUGCUAAACUGCAUAUUAUGGAUUUUAGAAAUAGUUACACUAUGAGUUACAACUCUCUAUCUGCUUUAUGCAGGAUAUACAACCUAAAAAGAAGUCGAGUGCGCAAAGGAAUGCUCUUGCAUCAGCUCUCAAGCUGCAGAGAAAAUCACAAGGACAUUAAAGGAGAGUGUUGAUGAACUUAAUCAAAGGCGAAAGAGCGUAUGGUGGAAUCGGUGGAUCCCAAGAGAGAAUGAAAUUUGUAAAAAUAGUAAUUUGCUUAUGCAUGUAAAUUAUUUUGCAGUCCUCAACCUUAACUUCUCUAGCGGAGUAAAUGAUGUUUAAUAGAGAGUACAAAAGCAGAUUUUAUAUAAAAAGUAAUAAAUGAUGUUUAAUAGAGAGUACAAAAGCAGAUUUUAUACUGUAUAAAAAGUAAUGUACAUCAUUCCACUCACACUCGGAUUAAUCCUCUUGUAUGGUAGGAGACGUAUAAAAGAAAAUUUACAGAUAAUCGAUUGUCCCUUCAGUUUUCUGAUUCUGAAUUUCAUACCAUUAUCCUAAGGCAUGCAGAAACACACAUUAACCAAGGCCAAAGAUCAUUCCUGUUGCAUAAUUCAGCCCUUCAUUUCACUUUCUCAAUUUAUUCCUUUUGUAGUAACAUGGAUACGUAGUUCGUUGGAGCUACAAAAAUAGGCAUAUAGAUAGCAUGAUAAUUGACUAAUUAUUUCUGUCUUCCUCACUGGAAUGAAGAUUGUAAGUAGCUAUAAUACGUGUGCAUUCAUCAUUUCCAUAUCCAUUGAAUGGAGUUAGUAGGAAAUGGAACAUCAUAUACACAGUUUUUUCUUCUUUAAUUUCCUUAGCAUUUCUCUUAUUUGCCUCCUUAUCCUAAUCUUGCUUUUCUAUUAGUACUAGUAAUUUCAUCUUGCUUAAUUUGGUGUGUUCGGAAACAAAAAUUUUUCAAAUAUUAUUUUAUUUGUGUCAUAAAAAUAUUUUUCAACCACGUUUUUAUAUUUUUAAUUAUUUUUUUAUUUCACGUACAUCAUAUCAAAAAAAAGUGCUAUAGUGACCUUUCUAAAUAAUAUUUCAAGCAAUCUGCCAUCCAAACACACUACGGUAAUUUCAGUUCUGCCACGCUCCAUAAUGCUCAAUUAAAAAUCCUUUCCGGAUCUCAAGGUUUUCACAGCAUACCUGGGAUAUUUCCAGGCAAAAACUGUUAAGGAUGACGAUGAGCCAUGUUAUGGCAUGAGACCUAUCAUUGUGCCAACAAUGUAUUGACCCAUUGUGCUGGAUACGUAUGAGAGUUUCAGAGUUGUGAUAUACAAGUCGGAAUAAUUACAUAUCUAAGCUAAAACUUUAAGAUGAUAAAUGCGUAAAAAAAUAAAAAGGAUAAUGAAUAAGUCAAGCUAAUUCUCUGUUCAUGUUGUGUUCCCUACCAAUAGAGGAUAUAGGGCUUGUUUUCAAAUGAUUCUAAGUAAAUUAAAACAAGAAGAUAAAUGUUUUUAGCUUCUGAUUCGAAUUAUGAAAAUCAGAAGCAUCUGUGAGAACUUAUCUACAAAGAUUGAGGUUCUCUGGUAAGCUGACAACUUCAUCCCCGAACUUGCAUGGCAAUUCAUAGCUAAGUAAAACUUAAAACUGAGGCCAACGGUGACAGGCCAGAUAACCAAGAAUUGGUCACGUUGUUAGUUGAAAACAUUGGAAGCAAUUCUGACAUGCUUAGGAUAAGUAAUUAUUGUUCGUACAGUUAAUUAACUGUCAUCAACUCACUAUCAAGAAACCCUUCAGUCUCCACCAUCAUCCUACCUUCCUUCCUCUCCUGAGGGAACUCCAUUUAUGGAGAUUUGAUACGCACGUAAGAAUACAAAUCAUGCACUACUAUGCUUCUUACUACUGAUAUUUGUUUGAGCAUAAAUUAUUACCCAUUCGUGCUGGCUUAUGGCAGUUGACACCACAAUUAGAGUACUUAACAUAUUCAAAUCUGCAGAAGUAACGUCACCAAUAACUAAUUUACAACUAAGUACUAUUGCUUUGCGGAUGAACUAGCUUUUAAAUAAUUUAGGUGAAUAUACCUACUUAUAUAGAGUUCAAACGUUGGUGGCAGCAAUAAUUAACGAUUAGUAGCAUAAGAUGAUGUCGAGAAUAGCAGGAACAACAACCGUAUCAACCAUGAGAGCUUCACGUGUGACCUGACCUUCUUGUUCAGGCACACAAAAGUCCACUUUUUUAGCCCUUGACAGUACAACACACACCCCACCAUAGUCACUUCAAAGUAAGCCUGGAAGACUCGGAUUAUGGCAUAGUACAAGUUUCUUAAUCAGCACUGUCCCCCUCAGACUUGUUUUCUUUCUUUUAUUGAUAUUUUCCCCUUACCCAAUGUGGUUUUGGGUCAUAGCCCAUCGUAUGAUUUUAUUGGCAUUUCAAAGUUUUGAUUAGCUUUGGAUAUUUCAUGGUUCAUGAUCAUUUGUUGUUUUAUGCGUGAAUAGAACAAUGACUAUAGCUUACUGAGUCAUCCUGCAUCUAUUUUAAGGACCUGCACAUUGCUUUAUCAUGAGCUAUGGAGCUUGGACUCAAUGUAUCAUGAUUUAACCUUGACUCAGACAUAAUGAAAAUCCAUCAUGGCGGACGAAUUCCCCAUAAGUUAGGUCCAUCUACACGCUUAACAUAAGAUAUGAAAGGAAAAAUUCUUCACUAUGUAAUUGCUAUCAUGCAUUCAAACUCAUCAGUAGAAGAAACGUUUUUCUAUGGCAUAGCCUAAUAUCUCCAAAAAAAACUAAAGGAAAGAGCAAAAAAAAAAAAAAAGAGAGAAAGAAAAACCAUGUAUUACACUUAGUUCAAGCUGACUAGAAAAACCAAUAAAACUUAAUGUCCAAGUCAAGGAGUUGGAGUGUGAACUGUUACAUUACGUUAUGUAAUUACUUUAUAUAAUGAAGUGUCAUGCGUUACAUUAUGUUGUUGCUUAAUACCUUUAUUUAUUUCGAGUGAUGAGUUUGAAUUGAAGACAGCUAACUAUAGACAUACGUGAGCUCAGAAACUGAGAAUGGCAGCUUCAAAACUGCUCAAAAGAAAGAACCCCCAAAACAAGAAAGUAAAAAAAAUCUUAAAUCAAUAGUUUAUUAGAACUUUAGGUUACUGAAAGCUGGUGUCCUUAGUGAAAUGGGAGGAACACGAGAUCAAGCAAGUGGGUUGGCUUUGCUUGGUAACCUGAUCAUCAAGAUUAAAUUAAUCAUUCACUUAAUCGAAUUUUGUGCUGUUUCCCCACUAGAUUUCAGCAAGAAAGGAGUAGUAGAAAAUUCAGCUAUGGUCAUUGCUUGGAAAUGUGGUUUCUUGGGUUCUUAAAUGUUGGUGCAAUAAAAGAGAAUAUGGCGGGGUAAUUGAAGGCUCACGUGAGGCUUAGUUUGACCGUUAUUUUGAUCGAUUCCCACAAGUAGCGUAAAAAUUCUCGUAAUUAAGCCAAAAUAUGCAGGGCAUACGAUGUUGAAACUUGCUUCCAUUUUUGCAAUUUAAUUCUCUCAAGCAUAUCUUUCUUUGAUCCCUUUUGGUUUUCAAUGUCAUUUUCAGAAUUUUCUAGCACAAUACUUUUUAUGGGUUCUUUGCCUUCAAUUUAUUUUGACAAAUUAUGACAAAAUGUUUCCUACAAAAAAAUUCAAUGCCAUUUACUUUGAGCAGAGUGAUUUCCAUUGGAAUUGUUGAAGACGAUCCUGCAAAGUAAAACGGUGACAAGGCAUCUUCAUUCAGCAAGUUCUUUAAAUUUCUCAUUCAGGAUGUUUUUUUGAUACCUUAGCUUAGUAGGGUAAAUACUUUAAUGCCAAUCCAAAUUUACAGAUACUCGUUGUGGUAGUCAACCUAAGAUGACUGAACCAGAUAUGAUUUCUCCUGUUAAAGAUAUUAUUACAAAAAAAAAAUCUCAAUAAAAUUAAUUCGUUCUUGGGUCAAUUCAAACUUUUAUUGUUUGCAUGGCAUGCCAACUGUAAGUUUAGUGCUUCAAGAAAAAAGAAAAAUGGAAAUCAAAACUUUGAAUAUAACACUUUGUAUAUCAGUGAUCACUAUAGUGACCACUAAUGAUACAGAAGGCAGAAUUCCUGGAAAAAAUGUUGCCUUGAAGCCUCCACUUGCACCCAUUGUCAUACAUACUGUCUCCGUAACUCCCAAUUAUACAAAGCAACUACUGGAACUGUUGACUUGAAGUUGCAACCGCACCCCAUUAUCACACCUAUUGUCCCAUAUGAAUAAUGCUGAUGGAAAUUUUGCUGGAUUAGAUUGGGAUAAUUCAUUAUAGUAGGCUAUUAGGUGGUGCUUUACUUUACAUGUACGUUAGUUAAAAUGGGCAUUUUUUAGUAGGAUCCAACUGAGACCCUCACUUUGUCUGUUUAGGUGGAUCCGACUCAAAUAAGACAUGAACUUAAAUGAGUGUACCAGAAAUAUGCAGGAGAAGGGUCACUUUGACCAAAAUUAUCACCUCAUCAUCAACACUAUUGCAAGGCAGCUCAUAAACUAAGGAAUUGUGCUACCUUAUUGAAGUAAUGGCUGACCCCUUAUGUUGGUAGGUGAUGCAUGAUAACCAGAGUUGUAUAUAGAGAAUGACAUGGCACUAUGGCAUUGAAUCUACACUUGUACAAAUAUGCAUUAGUAGCGGUAUUUAUUUACUCACUAGUGUUUGAAUAAUUUUAAUCUUUAUUUUUUUUUCCUCCAUGUUGGGGGUUUAUAGCAUGGAAUCCCAAGUGGGUAUGGGACCCUUAUGGUACUGUCUGGUGAGCUAGGGGGCACUGCACACACCUUGAUGCCCCAUAGUUGGCUCUUUACUCGACCAAGGCAAGUUUGGACCACACUUGAAACUCCUUAUAUAAAGAGCCCUUCUUGCUCUUUGUUCAUCACUUCAAUUUCAGCAACUUCUUCAUUCAUCACUUGUGAGUUUACCUGCACCAAAGCACAAAGAAGAAAAAAGAACACUUCUUGCAAUCUAUUGUAGAGAAGAUGAAGAUGAGCAGCACAAACAUGGGAAGCUCCAAGAGAAGAAUUUCAAGCAGAGGACUAGGAGGGGUCCUAAGAGAGCAAAGGGCUAGGCUUUACAUAAUCAGAAGAUGUGUGGUCAUGCUGCUUUGCUGGCAUGAAUGAAGAGUAUCUUUCUAGUUCUAUCUAGCCUUCAAUAAGAAGGGAUGCUUGUUUUUUUCUUCUUCUUCUUCUUUGAUCAUCUUGGGGAGUGUAAAUAGCAAAGGCCGAGAUUAGUGAGAAAGAAGUUAACAAUUUUGUACUAAUUAUUAAUUGGCUUUAUGAGCCUUCAUGUGUAUACAGUCGGAUAGCUUAAUGGAUUGAAAAAAUCAUCUUUAUCAAUUCAUUGAGUCUUAGUAAUUCUUUUCAUUUUCUCUCCUUUGAUAUUAUGUGUUAUCAUUUCUGCUGUGGAUUUUUGAAGAUGGAGGACUAGUUCAUCAGCCAAACUUAAUCAAGCUAUUGUAGGAUGAGGACAUGCUCACAAAAUUGGGUAGCUGAAGUCUAAUUCACAUUAAUCUUUACCUUCUGGUGAUCGGCUAAUCAUCUUUAUUUGAUCAUUUCUUUCAUCAGUCCUCAUGGAGGUUGACUAGUUUAUUAUCCUCACAAUAGUUCACAUUCAUCGCAGUCCUCAACGUACACAAAAAACAAUGAAGAUAAUGAAUGCUUGGAUAUUUAAGCAAUAGGGAACUGGUGAUGACCAAAUUGGGAAGAUGUAUGAUCGGAUUCUUUAGUGCUAGCUCAAAGUUCAUAUCAACUUCAAUUUGCAGAUUUUUCUACUUGUAUUUUCGUACCUGAAUUAUUCGAAUAUCUGGAUCCCCAGAUUCAGAAUCAGAUGAGCAGGACUUCCAAGUUUCUUCCCAGAAAUUAAAAUUCAAAAAUCCAGAUCUUUGGAAGACUUUUUUAUUUCGUUUUAUUUUGGUAUUGGCAUUGGAUUGUUUUCUUUCCCGCAAGAAGUAGUACUAGUACUUACCUGUCGUCCAAAUUUAGAAGCUACCUAAGCCAUCCAACAAGUACCAGAGAAAACAGGGUGGAAAAAUUUUGUAUUCGUUUUAUUAGGCUUAGCCAGUCAGGUUUAUAGCAGAUACCAUACAUAUUACACUUAAUUUUGCAGGCUUUUUUUUUUCAGAAAAGAAAGUAGUUGAUAUUUCUAGUAGAUUUAUGCUCUUUAUUUCUGCGCAUAAACUUGAAUUAAACUCUUGACUGGUGCAAACAAGUAAGGGAAAAAAAAAUAUAGAUUAUCUUUAAUUAGCAGAACAAUGACUAAACCUUUUUUCUUUAUAUAUAGAUUUUGAGCGAAUUAUUAGCAAAAACCUAGAAAUAGUAGUAUUAUUUCCUGCUGUUUUAACACUUUCUGAUUAUCAUGUAGGCCCUAUAAUCAUUUAAAGUGAUAAAUGUUGUGAUCUUACUUUCCUAGUUUCCAAUCCAGUCAAACUAUUUACAAACUUUUUGUACUCUCAGGAAAGCAGGUCCAAAAAAGACACAGAGUAUCUUAUAUAUUGCAAAGUAUGUUAUUACUUAAUUGUUACAUGCUUAAUUAACGAUUUUGAUUGUCGUCUUGUGAAUUGCAGGUGCAGCAAGAAAUUGACUUAAGACACUAAUUGAUAUAUUUCAUCUGUUUCUUUUGUCUGCUUUUGAUAAUUGAGGGUUUGGUAGCUACAAACAUGAAAAUUUAGCUAAUUAAGCUUUAAUAAUUAAGUUGGAGAUUAGUUAGUUUGUGACAAGGUAUUGUCUUGAUCAUCUUGUCUUCAACCAAACCUGCAUUAGUGAAUUUCAAAGUAUUGUAGUCGAAGAAAGAGAUGUUGGCCCAACCAGACAACGCCACUGACUCUUAUGCCAAUUAUGUUAAAUCCUGUGAUUAAUGAUUAUCCUAUCCAAGGGACAUUGGAGUCAAACCUUCAUUUCAUUAACAAUUGUGGUAAGGGACUCCAACCUAAUAUUUACAUGUGCCAUGCAUAUUAUAUAAACUGAAUUAUUAAGUAGUAGUAGUAGUAGUAGAAUUGAAAUAAUAGCACACAAAAUUAAUUAGGAUAAACAGUCAGAUAUUAACACUUCAAACUAUAUAUGCUGAACUCUUUUUUUUUUUUUUUGGAAAACAAUAAUGGGGUCAUAGGACUAUAAUGUUCAGCGUGUCCCCAGAAAUUAAUUUAUACUGCUCAUCUUGUACGUCUAUUUUUCUCCCCCUAAAGUUGAAAUGAUUUCUUUUUGCAUCUAGCUCAAGAAAUCAAUAUAGUUAGUCUUAGGAAGUAGAAACUUGAAUUUAGUAAAGUUUCUGAAAUUUUCAGAAAGUAGAAUAAGUGUGCAAUAAAGAUGCUACUUUUUUCUCCAAUGACCCCCUAAAAAAACAACAAAGAAAAGAAAUAAAGAAAAAGAAAACAACAAAUUAAGAAAAGUGCAAAACAUAAACUUAAUAGUGUCUUGUAUGGAAUUCUCCUCAACCAAAAAUUUGGACACCGUUAUAAGCUUAUAAACAUUCUUGGAAUUAAUCACAGAAUUCAAGUCAUUCUCAUUCAUCCUUGUGCUAUUUAUUUUUCCUUUUCCCUAGAAUAAUCUUCUUGGAAGGUAUUCAUUAUUCUCUUUUUCUUUUUCCAUUUUCUCCCAAUUAUUCAGCUAGAGUUGGGCCAACAGGCGCUUAACAACAAAAAGAAAAACUAGUGCCAGAACCAAGCUGCGGAAAAAAACAAGAUAGGAUAAAAAGGAACAAAAUAUUUGUAUUUUAGUGAUCGUGAGGUGCCACAUUAAUUAGUUGUUCUAGUUGAAUUAAAACUUAGGUGAUAGUGACGAACUAAAAAUAAUGGAUAUCAAUUGUCCUGUUUGUUUAAUUUUUAGUAACAUUAUACACAAAGUCUAAAUUUCAAUCUGCAAAUUUACUAUUAAAAACUUGAUAUUUAUAAAUUAAAAAAAAUUAAUCUUUUAAAAUAGCGUAAGUGAAAGGGUUCGAAUUCAAAAUCUCGCAUUUACACUCUUUUAUUUUUAAAUAAAAAGAGAGUUAUUAUACUAGUGCUCUAUAUAUUAUCAAGAAACGUGCCAUCUAAAAACAUACAACAUAAGAAAUAUCGUUCAUCUUCUGUUUAUUGGAUGCCAAAUCAAUUAAAUGCCGAAUCAAAUUUUGAUGUAAGAUGGUUGAUGUUUCAUGUUUCUUGAAGGGCUUGUGAGAUUUAUGAUUAAAACGUCAACUUUUAUGUUUAAAUUCAUCUGGAAUCAAACUUACAGCGCGAAGCUUACUGCGUUUGCCAUUCUUGCGGCAUCAACAUGAUCUGAUCUGUGAUGAUGUUACUAAAACUGUUCUUUUCUUCUUUCCCCUUCAAAAGAAAAAAGAUCAUGUACAGAAAGAAAAGGUGAACAAACAAAAGUGCUGUACAAGAAAAAAUAAAGAAUGGCAAAUGGGGUGAAGGAGUUGAAACAGUUAAAAGUCCAAAACUGAAGUGGGGCAAAGAUUGUCAGGCUGCACAGGAGCUGAAUCGCUAAUCUAAUAUUCUGCUGUCGGCCACAUAACAAUUGCCAUCUCAUCUCGUCUCUCAGCUAAGCCAAAAUUGAGGUGAGCUCAAGAAAUGGAGUGAUGGAGCCAACCCCGACACAAUGUGAUCAGUCAAAAUGGCAGCCUUAUCCACCCCCACGUGCAUUUUCUUAUCUUCAACCCACCACCACCACCAUCCCAGCCCAUGAGGCAACCACCACCACCACCACCACCUCCACAACGACCAUGACCUCCCUCCCCUUUCAAACCCCCCAGUCCCCACUCCCUGUGAUUCUUUUCUAAUCAUCAAAAAUCCCCAUCAAAGUGGUCCGCCCGCCUACCCCUCCCUAGGCAUAUAGAUUCUUCCUAUGUAGUACUCGUAUACUUACUUCCAGUAUGGACUUGGACUAACAUGCAUACAUCAUCACUGCUAAAAAAUUUAACCGAUAUAUCUUCAAAAAAGAAAGAAAGAGAGGAACGUAAAAAUUGUUUCAAGAUUCAGAUCAACUGCUAUAUGCAUGUAUAUAUGUAUGUUUGUGUGUGUAUAUAUAUAUAUCUUCUUGUACUUGGGAUGCAAUAGACGUUCAAUGCCAAUAUCUGACUAAGAUAAUUCAUAUCUCCUUCGUUACGUACGCUUGAAUGGAUGAUUGGCUUUGCAAUGGAUGAUAUAUCUCCCAGUUUUGGAGUCUAAUCUUAUCACCCGCCAAGCAUACAUGCUCGCCCGUUUGUAGAUACAUCUGGGUGAAUUGAUGCGUAGUUUUGGUAGGUAAGGUGAGUCAGAGUUGAUAAGAACAGCUGACUAACGAGUAACUGGGUGGAAUCAUAAUUUACGUAAAUUAAAUGGGUCAGAAAGGCAAUUAAAUGAUAGGUCUACGCGUGUCAAUAUUUCUUCCCCUCCCAUGCGACCCUUUGGCAUAGAUGCAAAGGAAGUGGAAAGCCUGGAAGGGGUUUCGAUGAGCUUAGAACUUUGGAAGGCUUUGGUGGGCAUCAUCACUUGAACUCAUUUCUCAAUUGUUUCUGUCAAUUGUGCCCGCAAUUAUUCGUUGUGAGAAAGUGACUACAGAUGGGAGCACAGUGGGCGCUUUCAUGCUAAAAGAAUGUGGUUUUGUCCACCUCCCAAACACGCCCCCCCUCCCAAAACCCCCCAUCCCUACAGCAAUUACCUCUGACUUGAAUAUAAAUUUAAAUCUAACAAAGAAAAUGAAGAAAAAAGGGAUUAUGUGAUAAAUUUCUUGUAAUAAAGAGUACAUGAUUACCUUUUUGCUGGUUAGAUUACUUUGAUCGUUAGUCAUGAGGAUAGUUUGUAGGUAGGUUUCAUCAACGUAAAGGGUGAUUUGUUACUUACCUCUAAUGAGAGGGGGGUAAUUGAAAUUUAGCCUGGAAUGAAAGGAAGGAGAAAUCAAUCAUGCAGAGUCUAUAUCUUUUGAUUUUUUAUUCUUGUGAGAGGAUUUAAUAUUGAGAAUCGAGAGGCCAAUACAUUGCGAUAGAAACAAGAGAAGAAGAAGCCAGAAGUGGUCCAUUUCCACAUGGAUUAAUUUAACUCUUUCGGACUUGUGGCAUUAGGGGUUCAGCCUAGAUGGUGUCUUAUUGGGACACAGCCACUCAUGCAGCUCUCUGCAUUGCUUCUUUCGGUGCUUUGAACUUUGAAGGCUUGCUUGCUUCAUGAUGGUCAAGACACUAAACUAUAGAUGUAAAAAAAAACACUCUUUUUUUCUUUCCAACCUCAAUGUCCUCCUUGUCCACCUCCAAUAAUAUAUCUAUCUAAAUCGAUCUGUGUGGAUGAUUGCUGAGAAUAGUAACCUUUUGCAUUAUAUGAUCAAGCGUCUGCGUGUACAUGUGUGAAUUAACUGUACUGUAGGAUUCGGCCGUGAAGAUAUAUGACAAAGUUUUGCAAGAUUCAAACGACUCAUGAUUUGAAGUUAGAGUAACAAUCAAUACGAAAAUGAGGGGAAAAAAAAUGUUAUUGCAUGAUUACGAGUAUUGAAUUUACGUGACAAGAUCCAAUUCACAGGGUCCCUCCAUUGUGAUGAAAACAUUGCAUUUCACCUACAUUUGCUACUAUUUGACAUCUACUCCUAACUCUUCUGCCCAGUGACUAGCAAUGGGGGUCGCCCUUCUUAACUUUGUUUUUGCUCAUAAUAUUUUAUAGAUUUUUUUUUUUUUUUUGUAAUUUUCUUUUAACUUGUCCUCCCUCCGAGUCCGAAGGUAUUGUUUACCUUACAUCUCUUGCCUUCUUCCCCUCCUCCUGUAACUUGACUUUUUGCCUAAAAAAUGUUAUUGUCCUUCUCUUCUUUAAAUUGCUGCCCAAAGUAAAAUAUACUUAUAAACUACCGCGUUAUGUCAAAGAAAUCCUUGCUAAUUGGAGUAUCUUUUUGUGCAUGUAUUGUGUACAAGUUAAUCAGUAAAGAUUGUCAAAUAGAUGGAACAUUGGGUGGGGUUAAAUCAGUUAAGAAAAUGAAAUCAAUAAAGUUAUGAACUUUCACAAAACGAUCAUUCUAGCUGAAGUUAAAACGGAUGACACAUUUAGUAUCUACCCUAUUCUGCACAUCAAUUAUUUUAUCUGCAGGAUAGGAAAAUCGGGUGUUACAUGGAAAUGCUACAACUCGUUAUCCAACUUGAAAAUACCAUGUAGAAGAUAACUUUAAGUUCACCACUUAAACCACUCUUUACUCUCAAGAAUCGAAACUGGUAAUCCUAACAUGGCAAAUAGUGUGUGCGUGUGUGCGUGUGAAGUAGGCAGAAGCAAAAGGGUCCUGGAAAGGUGGAACUGAGUGGCAAUGUUGUGAUGAAAAAGAGUGUAGUUGCUGGCACAUUUUGGUGAAACUGCCCUAUGUCGAGUGCUUUAUACCGCGUUCCUUCCCACACCAUCUCAAACAAGGAAAAAGAAAAAGAGGUACGAGACUUUCAGAUCAAAGUUUGGUGAUUCUUGAACAAAAGAGACACCUAAUUAUGACCCUGCCUCAACUUCUUUUUAUCUUGGAAGAAAAUUUUAAGUGACGAAUCAAAUGAGCAUCCAAAUCUUUAGAGUGCAUAUCAUCAUACUUAUUUAUUGUCUAUUAUUCGCUCUUAAAUUAUGAUAAAAGAGAAAAAAAUUAGAUGAUCGUUCGUUUCCAAAAUUCAAUUUAACUCGUACGGACAUUAGUGUGAUCAUGAGUUUUCUCGUUCAACUUUUAAACCUUUUCUUUUUUUCUUUCCCCCGCUAAGUACUAUUCUACAUUUUGUUGAUUCGAUAUCUUCUUUAUUCAAACAAAUAUUUGGCCAGCUAUUCAUACAAAAAAGAAGAAGAAGAAAAAUUACUCCGGCUUGAGCAUGCUGCCAAUGUAGGAGUGGAGCGUGCAACAUAUGAUGUUCUACACCCCGAAAGUCCCAACCCCCACCCUUUGAGAGGGCACAAGGUCCACAACCGCACCCACCAGGCAGAGCAAUUACCAACUCUGCAUCCUAGAAUGACUACUGCUGAAACCGAUCAUGUUAAGGCUAGGACCAGUCGUUUCUAAAAUCCAUUUAUAGCCAACCAUAAUAUGACCUGUAAGGUUCUUAGGUUCAAUGAAUCCUUCAUUUACGUUGAUGGGACAUAUGAAUCCAUCUUUGUUCCAAUGAAAUAAUGGUUGACAUGAUGCUGGAAUUCUCGAGUUCUCCGUUGAGUAUUCCAUUGAGUAUAUGUACCGUAAGGUCCGUUUGGUUCAUGGGAUGACACAGAAUAGUAUUUUUAAACUAUGGGUAUAUAUAUAUAUACACACAAAACAGACAGGCGCGAUCGUGAGUACUAGAGCAUGAUCUAAUUCUUACUACAUCAUAGUGUCUUUGGAGUACAUUAGCCCUUUUUACUUUAUCUCUCUAUGAAGAAUAAAUUAUCCUUACUUAAAGAAAAUAAUGUCAGCAGAUACAUGGUAGUUUCCAUGAAUCCAUUUUUAGACAGAAAUUAUUGAGAGCUAUAGGGAGUUCAAAGUUUCAUGAGCUGCGGUGUGGGCCAGAUUGUAUAAGGGCCCCAUGUAGCGAUUUUAUGUUGGACUGGUGGUUGGAUCUUUACAAACGGGUGUGAACAGAUCGUUCAGCCAUCAGUUCUUAAUGCUGUUCCUGACUGAGGGACCAAAGCCAGAGUUUGCCUAACAAGGACAAAUAUCAUAGGCCCAACAAUGGGCUAUUUUUAUUUUUUAUUUUUAUAUUUUUUUAGUGUGAGUGGGAGGACUCCAACCAAGUUUUCAGAAAAAUUCCUAGACUUUCACAGUGGGGAUGUUUCACUUUUUUUUUUUUUUUUGUGAUGUUCCCUUUUUUAUUUUUUUUUAAUGGGGGAUGUGGAGAAGAAGCAGGAAUGAAAUAAUGGGCAUGAAAAUAGAGAAAUUUGACUAGCAAGUGACAGUAAUCAAUUGUCUUAACUAUUGGACUAAGGUUUGAUGAUUAAAUGAAUUGUGCUCUUCCGCUGUGUUCCAUUUUGCAGGCUUCGUCAUCCAGAACUUCGAGCGGGUAUAACCUUUUAUGCUGGAUCCAAAUGAGCCACCAUGACAUGUAGCUUUCUAAAUCUGGACGAAAGGAGCAAAAUUAUCUGUCUGGGUUUGUAUUCUUUUUGUUCUUUAAUUUAAGCCAACUCAGGCCCAACUAUGUUUCAUUUAUCACUCCUUCAAAGCAUGGCAUCAAAAGCUUUUGCUUGACAUGCAAAUGAGCUUUGUAAUGCCAAGUUUUGAAUGAACCAAGCAAUCAACAAACAAGUUCGUAUUUGCCUUGUUUGAGUUCGAAAAAAGUUUAAUCGUUUAAUUAAUCAAUUGAUUUCGAGCACAAAAUUAGACUCCUGCAAUAAUUUAGCCGUCUCUCUUCCCUCCCCUUCUGAAAUCUGGCCGUAUGAUUCGAUCGUGACCAAAUCUAUUUACACGACAAAAUCCGAUUGAAAAGGAGGACGAAAGUGUUCCGUUAAUCCUUCCCUCUUCCCCCACCCCUCCUCGCGGCAUCACCUCCACUUUUCCUCUCUCUCCUCCCUUACAUUCCCCACCACCUUCCUUUCUCCACAUCGGUUCCUUUUCUCCUUUACCCCCGUCCUCCCUUCCUUGAAUCUAGCAGGAAUGAACGACCAGGUUGUGACCAAAUCUGGUCACACAACAAGAUCCCAUGGGAAAGGAGGGUGAGGGUGUGAGGAGAGGGGAAAACCAAAAUAGGGAACGUGGGGAGGCAAGAAAUAGAAGGUGAAGUGCUACAAGAGGAGAAAAGGUGGAGAAAAACAGAGGGAGGAUAAGGAAGGUGAGGUGGUGAGGAGGAAAAAAAAAAAAAGGGAGUAACAGAGGAAACAGUAAAAAAUGCAAAUUAUAAAAAUACUCCAAAUAUAUUUUAAAUUUUAAAGACACGUAAAAUACAAUUGCACGGUAAAUUUUUACCAUACAAUCCUAUAGUAUAAUUUUUAUAAAAUAUCCCAAAAAAUGUCUAAUCCAUGCCAACCCAUAGGUCUACAUAUGAUGGUAUCUAUAAUUGUAAAUGAAGUAAAACUUGAUAACUCUCACCCCUAAAGAGAAGCCACCUUUCCAUUUUCUCCCAUGGUUAUUGGGCGGCAGAGCCAAACUUUCAAAACCAUGACCCUAAUCUUGGUCUUAUCUCGAUAAAAAGAGAGAAAAAUACAAAAGAAAAUGCAUAACAAAUAAAAAAAUGUCAGAAAAGCACAUAAACCACAUCACAUUUUAGUUAUGAUAAAAUGAACAAGAGCAUACCCAUCAAGUGACAAUUGUAACAGGUACAAGGAAGCUGUCAUACAAACUUACGUUCAACUGAGAAGCUAGUCAAAACAUGGGCUACUAUAUGGGCCUAUACAUCAUUCAAGUAUUCUGAUUCAAAAUGAACAUUUUUAGCAAGAAGCUUCAAAUUGACAGCCAAAAGUCAGUGGUCCUUUCUCUCCAUUCCGUGCUU